CCAGAGUUAUGGGCCUUUUCUUCUCUUCCCUCUAGCGGCCCAUCUCCCACCCGAAUCCUCUAGCCCAUUCCCACCAGUGCUGCCCAACUCUCUCAAAAGAAAAGAAAAAAACACAGCCCCAGGCGAUCGUCUUCCUCUGAAAAAAAACUGAUCAUCUUCCUCCUCUCUUCGAGCGUUUCAGAACGUACGCACCUGCAUCCAUUAACCGCUGCCGUCGUUUUCAAUCCCAUCAAAAUCGAUCGUCUCUUGCAAAACCGGAACCAAAAAGUUAAUUCCGGUCGCUCCACGAACUGAUUACCACCAAUAUUGUCUUCCCUCUUCAAUCCCCAUUUCCAAUUGACACGCCCCGAAUACCGGCCGUCGGCAUUGAACCCUCAAUCUCCCUCCACGGCUUAUAAAACCCAAUUCGAAUCGCGUGAUCUCUAUCUCCUUACGAUCCUCUCUCAAAUUCCUCUCCUAAUUAUAGCCAAGGGCAGAACAAGGUCACACUUCCUUCGUUGCCUCCUCCAUCGCCAUUGCCCCCCCAAGAAGCCACCGAAGCCGCCAAGUGGGGCGCCAUUGCCCCACGCCUCCUCCAUCAUCGUCGCCGUCCCGAGAAGCCAGCGAAGCCGCCAGGCAGGGGCGUCAGGGAGCUGUACAAGGAGACCAAAGACGAGGACACAGCAGGGUCGCCGGCGGCCAGGAGUGUGGCCCGGCCCGUCCAUCUUUCAAGGGAGAAGCCGAGAAGUUCCUGCGGGGCAACGGAGGAAAGACCGAGAGAGUAACUUCAUUCAAUCUAUUGGACUCUUCUUCACCUUUGCCUCUUCAGUUUGUUUUCUUUAUUUUGCUCAACAAUAUCACCAUGUUCGAUCCUUCCUGCCAUGUAUUUUUACCUACGAUUGACAUCAACACUAAGUUUUUUGUGCGCGGAGGCUCUGCGCCUCUCCUCUUCAUGCCUUCCCCUCGAUGGCCGCCAACUCACCCUGCGCUACCUCCGCUUCAGAAUCGCAAAUGUUCCAACUUAUUAUCAUAGAUCUGCACAUCACAUCCAUGCCCAUGUGAUUCCGUCCUAGGCCGUUGCCAAUAUAUAAAUAUAGCGAUGUUGUUUGACAUAUUUGUUUUAAAGAUCAUAUCCAUUCUCCAAGCAGAAAAUACGUUAAUUUAAAUAUACGAAUAUCCAAUUCAAAUUUACAUAUUUCAAAUUCAAUUAUGCGUUGUACACCAUUAUGGUUUCUCUUUGUUGACAUUUUGCAUCUUAGGGUAUCGGCAUUCAACAAAUUCCUGCAGCAACACGCAGGGUACCAUCUAGUAUCUUUAAUUUGAGAGACCGAAUGCAGCGGGCAACAGGAGCGCACAUGCGCGCGUGGCUGCGAACGAGAUGCGGCAUGGCGGCACGCAUGCGCAGAGGACAUCUGUUAUGUUUCUCUCUCUCUCUCUCUGCACGAAUCUCCAGGCCAGCGAGGGUGGGGAUACGUCGGGUGUAGACAGAUCUUUCUCUGGUAUAUCUCAGCGAAAGAGCGAGCUUCCUAGCUGUUGUGGGGUUUCUUGGGCUUCUGGUUGGCUUCCUGUAGUCAGGGGUGGAAUCACACCUAGGGCAACUAGGGCUCUAGCGUGUGAUCCAGCUAAUACAUGUAUGUUGUAAUGGUGAUUUGGCAAAAUAACCUAAUUAACAAUGUAUUAGCCCUAGGCUUUCAUACUUGGCCUAGUUUAGCCCUAGUCUUAUGACAAUUCUGAAUCCGCCAACUGCCUGUAGCGUCCACUCAUCAACAUUUCCCAUAAUAAAAGUGCAUCCCUCUUUGUACAGCUGGUACUAGGCUUUCGAAUCCCAACACUUCACAUGCCCAUGAUCACGUACGUUGUUUCUCAUAGAAGCACUUAAAAUAGGUUACUCGACUCUUUCAUAAAAAUAAUUAAUAUCGUAUGCAUACACACCUUCUCUUUAACUCGCAUUUCUCCUUGACCUGGUAUAUAUAUAUAUGGAGAGUGAAUCUUUUAAAUAAUAGGCGCAUCUAUCUGCCAGGUAUUAAUUACCAUAGGAGUAGGGUCUAAAGGAAAUGAUGUGAAGUAUGGAAAGCCAGUGAUAUAUAUACGCAACAAUCGCUAGCUUGUUCUGCCUAGUGAUUUUGAGUUGGUUUACGAAGUCCUCCGAUCCUCCUUACUAGUUAGAGGAAUGUGAGUAGAAUGAGUAAGAACAUGGUGUGGCCUCGUGUGGGCAUGGGAGGUAUCGGGAUGAGAUUUGGCAUGCUACUUCUGUAGCUCGUGUGCUACUGCAGCGGCAAGCAUGCUCUACGGCCUGCUGAAAGGACGCCUACAAAGCGUCAUGGCACUGCCCGGAGAAUAUCUCCUGUCAUGGAUUGUAUGGGCCAUGAGAUGUAAGUGGAGAGGACCGAUGUGGAGGACCAGUUGCCAAGGAGAAGAGCUGUACCACGGGGUCGACAUGAGCCGAGCCGAGCCACCCUUGUCCUUCCAUCGCCGCCAUCUCUGCUCGGAGAGCGAAGGCGCACCGAGCACCGGGAGGCGGAGCGGUAGCACGGGCAGCGCUGCGGGCAGUCCGUUAAGAUGGCGAUAGUGGUGGGCUGGGCGCCUGGGAGCGACUGGGCCUUAACAUUCUCUUCAGGCCGCCGCGGGUUGGCGAGGUGAAAAUUCUGGCUCGGCUCGGGCUGUAUGGAGCUCGAAAGCUCCGCGGAGUUUCCAUCGUACUAGAAUUAAGUUCCCAAUGCACUGUAGUUGUUGCGUCUUUUCGAACCGAGAUAAAGUGAAUGCUGAAGUUAGGUGACCAUAAGCCUGACGGAUUGUUCAUAAUGUACAAUCGAGUUGAGCUUUGCUUUGAGAAUGGUUGUUUAGACAAGAGAAUAAGAAAAGUCAAAUCUCAUAGGAGGUUAUGAUGAACGGAUGGUAUCAUUUUCAGCAAAUAAUUCUCCCGAACUUCCACCUCCCAGCAUGUUAAUAAAAUUGUGCGAAUUGGUCAGCCAAACUUCCAUUCCCAAUCUCUUCUUAACUUUUAUUCCCACCAACCAAACAAAUGAUUUAUUAGCACACAAUCUUUAACUCCGCCCAUCCCCAGUCUCUAAUUCCCGCCUCUUUACUAUCUCAAAUUGCAUAGAUAACAAUCGGCAAGAGCAUCUAGCUGUCUAUAUAAGUGAAACAAUGUAUAGAAAAUGUAACUUGCAUUGCUCUGGUUUCAUAAAGUGCAGGUAUAUAUACUUUUUUUUCUGCGACGAGCUAGCUACUUUGAUUUUGUUGUGGUCAAACCUUUUUAGCAUCGAGCUAGAUCGCACAUGUGUAUGUAUGAUUGAUGCCGCAUCGAUCCACAUCUACACCUUAAUUAAUAAGGUCGUUUUGGUCAUGCGAGGCAUCAGGGACCAUGUUUUGCUUUACUUUGCAUGCAACUUCACUAGGUAUGCUAGCUAGUAUACAUGUUCUGUCAUACCGUCAGUUUGAUGUAAGAUAUAUCACGUAUUGCCUAGGCAUAGUUCCUGCUCGCACCUGUAAGAUACAAUGCUCAACUCUAGGGCAGUACGAAUAAAAACACUUCAAUGACCACACCAACAUUUUUAUUUUGAGGAACGUACAGCAGGCAAAAGUGCCUACUGGAACAUAUUUAAAAAAAAAGUAAAGUUCAGGGCGGUUUUACAGGGAAAAAAAGAAAGACAGCUAUCUAAAUAUAUCGAUCCAUAGCUUGAAGUUUUUCUGUAUGCCUUUCUCUUAGCCCUGUGGAAGACAUGGUAAAUCUCCUCCUUGAAGGUUCUUCUGCAUAUCUUCUUCAUCGCCAUUGUCGUCCUCCUCUUCGUUGUCGCUCUGCUCACCGGCUUUUGCAGCUGCAGAGGCAGCGAAGUUAUUCCCAUGGUACUGAUAAUGCUGGCAUGUGCAGGGCCGUGCUGAUGGUGUUGGUGCCUGCUAGCCUCGCUAAUGUGCUAGCUAGCUGCCAUGGUGAUUGCUGGCUUGCUGCUCGUCCUGAGAGUAGGAACAAUUGUUAUUCUCCUAAUAUACAAUGUGGAGCACUGAGAGAGGCCUUAGAGCAACUCCAGCCGCCCCCCUAAAGGCCCCCUAAACGGGCUUCGGGGGCCGGCGCAUAAAAUCCGACCCAGCCGGCCUCCCAAAAUGUUUUUUUAGCCGGCGCUUCCAGGCCGAACCCACCCCACGGGGAGGCAAGCGGGGGCGCCGGCGUGUCACGUUAUUGCGGCGGGCUCGCCUUGUCAGCGGCAAUUAAUCGCCCUCAGCGAUAUCCCACCGGCUUCCCCGAGACGAUUAAUGUCGGUCGCUGGUGGUCAAGGCCCCCACGGAUGGCAUCUCAGCUGGGGAGGCAGGCCAGUCGCCCCGGUGCCGACUGGGGCACGCCCGCAGGAGCGCAUCUGGGCGCACUUUGUCCACCUGACGCCGGAGCAGCAGGCUUCGGCAGAGUGGAACCGUGAGACCAGCACCGCAUGGGCCAAGCUCUGCGCCGACGAGCACGAGCGCGCCGUCCGUGAUGUGCUGCACCCGACAGUGCGAAACAACAUUCGACGGGCAGCGCGCCUUUUGCGGGGGCGCUCCGUCGAUGACGUGUUCGCCUCCAUCGCCGCCGGCAAUCAGCCGCGGCCCUCACUCCUCCACUGGCCGGACGCCACCGCUACCUGGGCGGUUGCUCCGGCUCCUCGUCGUCCACAUCGGCGGAGGGCACACCUCGGCUCAUCAACGAUGAACCGGGUUCUUCGUCGGCCCGAGCACGACUGGCCACUUCGGGGCUCAUCCACCUGAAGCCGGAGCUGGAGGACUGGACGUCUCCUCCGGAAUACGAGAGCGCCGCCAUCGAGCACCGAGGCGACGACGACCCGGAGGAGUACCCGGGUCAGCGUGCCGCCGAGCGCGCCAGCCAGGAGGAGGCAGAGCGGCGCCGGCUCCUCGGCUACGCGUCCGAGGCCGAGGUCGAGGCCUGGCUGGCCGACGAGGCAGCCAAGGAGGCGGCGAAGAAGGUGGCGAAGCCGGCACUCAUGCCGGUGAAGCAGGAGCCGGGAGUCAUCGUCCUCGACUCGGACGAUGUCUCCGGCUUCAACUUUGACAGCUCCGGCGACGACGACGACAGCGUGGGCGACUCGUGGAUGGACCACUGAGACGACUAGGUUUUUAUAUUAUGUAAAUUAUCACAAGUUUAAUAAAAUGUCGUCGAACUUUAUGAAAUGUUGCCUAUUUUGAUGAAAAGUCGCCUAAUUUAAAAUUUGCUUCGUUCUAUUGGGGAUUGGGGGCCGGGCUGGGACACAGCCGGCACCAAAUUAUUCUUUGCACCGCCCCCCCCCCCCCCCCCCCCCCCCCAAUAUGGCCGAAAAAUGUGGCAAGCCGGACGCCAUAUGGGGGGAUGGCUGGAGAUGCUCUUAGGGUACCAACUGACCAAUGACCAAUGAAUUGCUACUGGACUGGAUGGGGUGAUAUGGCCCAUCUGUUAUUUCACCAUCUCUUUUUUGUGAAAAUAGUUUGUCUACAUCUACAUGGAGUGAUAUAAUGCGCUAACUUGUUACCAAAAUGACAGAAAUCUCAGUGAUUCGAAGGGGCAGAGAACUUGUCUUAAAAUAAAAUUCCGAACCUUAUUCAGAUCCGCGUAGCAAUACCUUGAAUCUCUAUGUCCUUUUCCCACGGACAACCUACAUGUUGAAAGGGUACUAGAAUACUAGUCUAAUGUAACUAGUGGAAUUCACCCAGAUGCUAUCCAUAUGUAGCUGUUGACACUACCAUGUAUCAGGUCGUGUCCUUGGUGUUUUGUCAAGACGAUACCCUCGACUCUGCUAGGUGGCAUCGCUGAUGUGUAGGGGAAGAGGUGACGAUGCCAAUAAGCGCCUAUGCGUUUCACUGACUUUUAGCCUGUCCCCAAGUAAACCAGCGCCCCUUUCCAAAGUUGAAAGGAAUAUAUCCUGACGCUUCCCAGUCCCAGACCCAUGAUCCAGGGAAGAAAAAUGAGAAAAAAAAUACAGCAGUGCUCGUAGCACUUAAAACAGUCGCUCGUGAAGCAGAAAUAUGUAAUGUCCCAAGUCACUGUCUCUUAUGGGUUUGGGCUGUAUGCACCCAAACGUCCUUCGGCAAUUGGUAUCAGAACCAGCAUCUCCUGCCUACCUAGCUCAAACCCAAGCCUGCGUGGCGAAAAAGGGGGGCAUAAAGGGGGAUGGAAUGUCACGGCUUGAGGCAGUUGGAGCGCCUCAGAGUUUAGUCCCACCUUGCUUACGGGAGGAGGCUGCGACCAGCUUAUAAGAGAAAGCCUGACCCUCCCACCAGUCCGGGUUUUUGGGAUGUGGAGAGAAACGGUGAUCUUUUAUGGGCUUGGGCCGUAUGCACCCAAACGUCAGUCUUCGGCCAUGGCGUGCCUGAGGAACGUAACAGUCACCUUGCGUUAUACGGAGUAUAUAUUUCAGUCACCGAUGAAAAAUUAAUUAUUCAUAACUAACGUGCAUAUACAACAAGUUCCCAUUCAUUGUGAUAUGGUAUGCGUAAAGUUUUCUGCCACCGUCAUAUGUGAUAAUAACGGCAUGCUGAAAGAAAAACUGUAGGAGAGUAUUCCCAUGGCAUAUUAAAAAGAGUAGUAACAAAGUAAUAGUGUGUAGUCGGAUGAGCCGGACACUAUUUCGACCGUGGACCUACCAUGUCCCCAAAUUUGUAACUGAUUUGGUUGCCAAUGAUUCUGCUAUGCACCUUGGUUAACGGAAGUCAUGUUCCCUGCAAAAGAGUAAUGUGCAAGGAAGAGAAAAAGCAAAAGGAAACAAACACAAAGCCUGUGAAAUCAAAAUUAAAAAUAGUGGUCUGACUUUCUUGUAUUUUUCUUUCACACUCUAAGCUAGAAAGUAUGAAGAAUAAUUUUGUUCUCUUUCGUUGGUUUCAGCUUCUACGAGUUAAAUCCUGGUUAAAUUUAUAAAUAAUCUGGCCAAUUCGCACUGACCAAAUAUAGCUUUUUCUUGACAAAGACCACAUGUGUCGUCAUGGCCAUGGAAAUUUUGCUCUGAAGCCUCGAAAAGUAUUUAUGCUUCAAUUUACAAAUGAGCAUUUGCAAUGCAUGGAAUAUUAAGGUGAAACCAAUGUUUAGAACAUGGUGUGCCCAUAGUUCCAUGCCCUUUCAUAUGAGAAUAGUUCUCUGAUCAGUUAAAUUUCAAAUAAGUCAACUUCAAAGACCCAUCAUAGCUUCAAGAUCUGAAGCCUACGAUCCUAUGUCUCCCAUGCACAGAUAAACUACUUGAACCGGACAGAUCACCAGCCCUUUCGAAGUUUUGUGGACUCACUGCUGAGGCAUAGAGCAUGAUGAAGCACACAUUUACAGAAAUCAGUACUUGGUUGAGAAGCUAGCUGAAAUUUACUAAAGUACCCAAGAGAGGGCUAUGCAAUAUAUAUAAGCUUCCCAAUGUUCUCUGUAUAUCUAUCUCCACAAACUGCUCUCAAUAGUUUUAUCUCUUAAUUAUGGCUAUCAGAUAUGAGGCGCAAAAGCUAAUUUAUUAUAUAGACAGAUAUUACAAAGAUGUACCCCACCUUAGGACAAUGUGAGCUUUCCAUGAUGCUCUCAAUUGUACCCCCAGUUUAGUAAUAACUACUACUGUAAGUCAUGUCCGACUUCGGCUUUCUAAUCUCUGUACUAUAUCUCAAUAUUUUUAGCAUCAAUCCCCCAAAAAAAUUUAACAUUUUCCUAACAGAUAGAAAAAUGCUGUUGUUCCGUACACGCACUACCUCUGUUUCAAAAAUACUAAACCAUGUUAGAUCUGUGUUGGUUGAACUUGUUUUAUGUUUAACUAUCAAUUCCAGAUGAUCUUUGAUCCAAUGGCUCAUAUUAAGGUUUUCAUGUUUUCACCUUAAGUUGGUUUUCAUGGGAUACUUUCUCAUUCUCCUUGCCAUGACAUAGUCUUUCAGCACGAAACUCUGAAAUCUGUGCCACGAAAAAUCAGCUCGUUUGGUUCUGUAAUCACUUAACCAAGAGAGCCUGUAUGCUUGCAGGACCUAAUCACAUAGGUGCGUAGAAUUCCUGAAACCUUCCAUUCCCAUGUAUACAAGAAAUUCUCUGCAAACUUGUGCCAAGCAUGCAACUAAGUAUGUAAAUUUUACUAAUCCCUCAAUUAACUGUGAUUUUGUAGAUAUGGUAGAGAGGUACACAUAGAUGUGUUUUUACAGGGGUUGCAUGCAGCCGCUUUUAGUAUAAUUACUGGAUGAUGCCCCAUGCGUUGCUCCGGAACGAUGUUAAAACAAAUGCACAAAUGCAUGCUUCAAAGUAAUUAAAAUUAAUGGAAAAAACGUAAAAAGCAUUACCACAAAAGAUACUAACAGUGUCGGACGAAAUAAGCCAUCAAUGGCGUGUGGCUGUGCCGCUACUGGCUUCACGUCACUAAUGGAGUAUCCAUCAAUGGCGUGUCCAAAACCCGCCAUCGAUGAGCUAGCCCAUCAAUGGCGGGCUUCCAUCCAACCGGCACUGAUAGGUAUUUCAUGAUUUAAAAAAAAAUCAGGCCGGAAUGCUGGCCGGAAUCAGCGGCUCGCCGGCGGGGGUCGAAACGGCGGCACGAAGGCAGAGCAAAAGAGUGGGGAAGAGGAUGGGAAAGGACGAGCGCGGCAUCAGGGGAUGUGAUCUCGUCUGCGUCGGGGAAGAAGCCCACGCGGAGGUGGAGACCGCGCCCUCCAUCGCGGCGGCGACGGCCGGAACUGGAGGUGCGCCGCCCUGAUCCGCGUGCUCUCGCUCUCGUCCUCUGUCGCUCCGCGUCUGCCUGCAGGAGAGAGAGAAAUAAAGGAGCUAGUUACAAAGAAAAACAAAGAGAUAAAAAGAGAGAGAGAACCUGUGAGGAGCUGCGGCGACCGGACCGCGGCAGCCAGGUCCGGGGCGGCGGAGCAGGAAGGCCCGCGGUCCAACAGCAGGUGCGAGGAGGAGAAGUGGCCGGAGUCCCGUCGGUGGAGAUGAUAGGAGCAGGGAGAAGGGAGAUGAGAGGAGGAAGAAAGGUCCAGCACAUGGGAGGCUCACGGGAGGGGAGGAGAUGGGAAGAGAGAGAGACAGAGAGAUGAGGCCACGAGGGCGAGUGGAGAAAAGGGAGAGAAAGGCAAUUUGCCAACUCAUCGAUCCAUGUCUUCACCUCUCAGCCAAUCAGGAAUGAGUACAAGGAUUGUGAUUUCUUUUGCUGGGACCUAACAGUGGCGGGUAAAAUUACAAAACCGCCACUGAUGGUUCACUAUUUGUACAGUGCUUAGAAAAUGAAAAAACAUAUUUUUAAUACUCUCUCCGUCUAACAAAAGAUGUUUCAAGUUUGUUCAAAUUUGAAUGUAUCUAGACAUGACUUAGUGUAUUGAUGCAUUCAAAUUUAGUCAAAGUUAAGACAUCUUUUGUUGGACGGAGGGAGUACAAGAAUUAGUUGUGAUUUUUCAAUUUUCAGCGGUUCCUCGGGGAGCCAUCAGUGGCGGGUUCAGUUGGAACCCGCCACUGAUAAGAGGGUCAUCAGUGGCGGGUUUUGGAAGGAAACCCGCCACUGAUAGCAUGGCCACUGAUAGGGGGUCAUUAGUGGUGGGUUUUAGAAGAACCGCCACUGAUGGAUGGAUUUUGGGUUUUUCGGAUUUCACGAGGAAGCCAUCAGUGGCGGUUUUUUUUGACACGCCACUAAUGGGGGGCCAUCAGUGGCGGGUGUUGAAGACCCGCCACUGAUAGGAGUCGCGUAUGGCUUGUUUUGUACUAGUGAAGUGUUUUGUUGUACAUUUAAAAAUAAUAACCUACGAAGUAUGUGACAAAUUGAUGUAUAAAAAGAGAAAAUAUUUUCUUACAAAAAGAAGACAUGAUUGAAUUGAUGGGGUGCAAUGGUUUGAAUUGAUAAAUUAAUGCAAAAAAUUUAAAGCAAUACAUCCAUAGUCCAUAGUUCGAAAAAAAGACAUGCGUGACUUAAUGAGAUGACAUGGUUUACAUGGCAAUGUGGAAGGCCCGCUGGGGUGACAUGCUCGUGUCGUAGCUAGCAAGUCUGUAAGAUCAGAUGCCGUGAAACCUGCAUAUUAGCAUUGAACAAUGGUCACGUGUAAUCUAAAAAAUAAAUUAUCAACGUAUAUACAUGAUUAUUCUUUGCUUUCUAAUUCAAAAAGGGUAUCAAAACAAAGUUGAAAUAGUAUACAUUCAAAAAAUGUGAUUACUCAUUUCAACGAGUUCAGACAUGAAUGGUGUGCAAGAGGUUUGCUGGUGCCCCUUUGAUGGUGGCAAUACCAUUUGAUAGGCAUUUAAAAACAAUCAAUGAAUUAGAGUUUAAUGCAAUGCAGAAUUAGAACAUUUCGUUCCUACCUACCAAGGACUGGCUGCAUCAAACGCGCACAACAUGGCCUACAACAAAAGGAGACGCUUUGUUUGUUCAGUUGAGACUUGUGCAUUCAGCUGCCAUUCAACAAAAAACUAAGGUGUUGCCUGGCCUCGUGGGCAUGGGUGGUAACGGGAUGGCAAGCCUAGCAACACGAUAUUCCACGGCCUGCUAUUUGUGUACCACGUGCAUCACUGCACAAGCAGGAAUGCAGAGGAUCCAACAACUGUGUGUUGUGAGCUUGUUGCGCUCCCUAAGGUAGACAUCCGCUUAGUGCUCUAGGAUUUUCUCAUGCAAGUGCAGCUACCAAUUAGGGAUGAUCUUUGUCUGUUUUUUUCGUCUAAUUGAAGUGUCCCCUUAAUACGUUUCCUUCUGUCAUUGUGAGAAACCUAAUGUUGGUACUAGUUGUAGGUAUCCAGGUUAAACUACCUGUCUCCAAGCUGGUCGGCACAUUGUGGUUUAAUUAGCAUUUGAAAUUGAAAAGCCAUGCUUCCGUAUAACCCUCUAAAAUAGUUUACGGACCUCAGUGCAUUUUUAAAAAGAGCAAUAUUGUAUUUUACAACCAAAAAGACUAGAUGGGUAAUUAGCAGUGUUGUACAUUGGCUGUGUGCAUCAGUCGAUGCAGAGACCAGGGAUUAUACUCUUUUUUAUAAAAAAGCAGCGUUGUACAUGUGAGCAAUUCCAUCCCACUGAAUCAGAUCCUAGCUCUGGUGAAAAUGUCCUUCUCUCACAGCUCGGCGGCCAAUUCUAUCUAUUUUCUUGGUUUUAAGUUUUGCGUGGAAGAUUGACCCCACACGCAGGUUUCUAAUAUGGUUAUGCCAUGCAAAGCUGCGAAUUCCAUAAUGUUCUCUAAUCAAUUCAUUUGCUUCGGGAUUGCCUCUUUUAGCCCAUAUAUAUGGAACUUAAUUUUUUCGAAUACCAGAAUAACCCCCAGCAUAUAUAUGGCACUUAAUACUUCUUAUUUUCACAAAGAAUGGCGCACACCUAUUUCAAGCUCAAACUUGCACUAACAAUUAGACCACUAAUAUGUACAUUACAUGUUAUAAAGUUUAUACCCUUGUAAACGUUUUUUUAAAUAGGAAUCCAAUGAUAUAAUUAUUGUAGCACCUAAUCCAUCAUAUUAUUAAUCUAUUUGUUGAUCAAAGUAAAACACCGAAAUACGUACGUGCCACUGUUGUGAAAAGGAGAGAAUAUAUAUGACUGUGGAUAUACAAUCUCACGUCUUUUUCCAUUCUUGCUCACCAUCAUAUUAUCAUCCACUAUGUUCUUUUGUCACUUUCCUUGAUACAACUGAUUUUGUACUACAUGGAGCCAUGAUUGUACUUUAUCCAUUUGUGUCUGACUUUGUUUUGUAACUAUCAAUGCGACAUCUCGGUACAAUUGUUCUACUUCUUUCGGGUAAGAACUUGGGAAUCUUUAGCAUUGACCAUAGGAGGAUGUAUCCGGAUGCAGCGCAAUCAGGGGGCUUCUUUGAGCUUAGAGCGUUUCUACAUCCCGACGCCUUCUAUUCUCAAACUGUUUCCUUCUUGUUGAUCUAGAUACGUAAUCAUGUAUGGCUGUGUGCAUCGACUGAUGCAGAGACCGGUGAUGUCCUUUUUUUAGAAAACAAAAGAUACAUAAUCAUGUAUGCACAAGAGUUCAAAGCCACACAGUAAGGAAAACCAUCCUUCAUAAUUUCAUAUAAACAUAUCUUCUUUAGCAACAUUGAUUGCUGUCCGUUGUGCUUCUGCUAUGCUCCCAGAGAAGAAACGCAUAUAUAUGGACGCUAUUUAUAACUCUUCGAUGCCACUGGUCUUUAACAUUUGAGUAAACCUGCUGUUGCUGCCUGUAGAAGAAGACAGGAUAUUGAAAAAAGAAAAAGCCAACGGGUCUAAUGAAAAAGACGUGGCGCCUGACAGACGGGACCCACUUGUAAGAAAAAUUGUAAAAAUCGCUUAAAUCAUUAUUUUGGGUGAUGCGAGACAAUUAGACACAAAACCUGUUGUUCUGCGGACAAAUUAGCAAAAGUGAGGGCUCGGUGAGAAAACUGCCUUAAAACCCGUGGUUAUGUGAAAUUUACCCUUAACAUUUAACCGAGAUGCAGCCAGUGUUCUAUGAUUAAGUGACUAAAGUUUAGAGGGUUAGGAUUCUAGCUAGAAAAAAGAUGUGUGAAGUUCUGCACCUACUCAUUUAGUCAUCUGCUUAUUUAAAUCAAAUGUCAUCCUCCUACAUCUACACUAGUAUGUUUGGAAUUGUUUUUUUGUUUUUUUAAGGGGGCGUUAAAACCUCAGAUAUUAGUUCUAUAUGUUGGUCGACCAAUAUGCUCGGGUAUUGAAGCAAAUCUCAAAAUGAAUAUGUGUCAAAGAGGUAAUUAUUCAUUGCAAUGAGUUCAAGAGUGCAUGGUGUGGAAGGGGAGUGCCGGUGCCAGCAGUAUAUAAUAGUUAAAAUUGCUGCUAAUAUAAUAACUAGCAUGUAUAAUAGUUUAGAUUUAUUGAUAAGAGUGCAUAAGUCAGAUCGAUUUUGAACUUCACCCCUACCUACCAAGCAAUGGCUGCAUCAAAUGUGCACAAAACGACCUUCAAGGAAAGGAGUGAAGUCUUAAAAGUAGGAGCAUUCAGCAACCAUUAGUUACCGGAGGUGCGAGUGACGAAUUGAAUAGCUCUCGAGUGUUUGACAUAUUAGCAGUGGCAUGGUUUGCUGGAUGGAUUUGAACUUGUUUACAGAGUCUGUAUGCCUACUGGAUGGAUGAGCCAAAAGUGGUGUCACCUCAUGAGCAAUUGAGCAUCGGAGGUAUCGGGAUGACAAAGCCUAGCGAUGAUAGAUCCCAUAGUCUGGGGUCGCCGGCGCUAGCUUCCAGCGAGAAGCCCUCCUUCCUGCAGCUGCCAUACCCGCGGUCCUGCUCUGGCUCUCGGUGCUCUGGGUUCUGGGCCGACCCGACGGCCGCCGUCCUUUUCCCCAGCAAACACGACAAGCAGCCACCUGGCAGCCGCGGCCGUGGAGAGGUGCAGGAUCUAGGAUGAUGAGGACAUUCCUUAUCCUUUGUCAUCUUUGCCAAAUGAUGAUCUUACUGUUCAAGAUAAACCUAAUUAUCUACGCAUUGAACCAAUUACAUGAGCACGUGCCAAGUUAUUAGAACAACAGUUGAACUCGCUCCUAACUGCACCUAACGUUUAUAUUGAUGAGAAUUUGAUACUGCCUAAAUCUUUGUAUCUUUGUGUAAUCAGGUUUGAGGCUGAGGCAACCGUGGAGCGUGGAGGAGAGGAGGCCGCGUGCGAGGAUCAUCAUGUGCUGUUAUCGAACAUCAAGAUAUGCGCGAAGGAGGAGAGGAAGGCAGGCGCACUACAAAUGAAGAUGGAGAAUACAAAUCACUAGAAGAACAACUUGUGUGCAAGGGACAGCCAACGACAAGAAUGAUCUGCCCACCACAAGUUGAGUACGAGUACGAGGCACACCAGGACAGCCUACGACGAGUCCGACACGUCUAAGGGGCGCCCAGACCUGUGAGUCCUAGUUUAAGCCAAGUCCUAUUCGGAUUGGUUGUAUGAGUUUGAGUCGAACCUAGUUUGAGUCUAAGUCCGUUUGUGUGUUUGGCUGCCCCUCGCCUAUAUAUAAAAGGGGUACGCCUACGGUUAGGGUUAGACCACGUUUUAGCUAUUUUCGAGACCCUUGUUGAUUGCGAGAAGCAUUCAUCUGGAAUCCUAUACACCAUAUUCGUUUCGAUAAGGUGUUUGUUAUCUACUGAAAUUUCGAGCGAAAUCUGUCGUUCCGCUGGGAAUUGGAAGAUUGCGAAACAGGUUGUGGUCGGCGGACUACUGCGCAAGUGUGUGGUGUUGCGAAUUUCCAUUGGAUUGCAAAUUCGUCGUGCGGCGACGGGUGAAUAGCCGGAAGAUUUGUAGGAUCAUACAAGUUAUCCACGUUGCUCGCUCAGAAGAUUGGGCCAUCCCUUAUCAUAGGAGGUGGCGGAGCGAGCAGCAUGGCGGCGGGCGGAGCAAGUGGCAUGGCUGCGGGCAUGGGCUGGUCGGCUUUGUCAACGUUGCGAAACCGGCGAGCAUGUGUUGUGGCAGGUUAGUCGGACCCGGAGCUGAGGAUGACCUCAGGAGCGAGGGAAAAAGUCCACUUUGGGUAGAAAAAUGCCACAUUGGAUCUAACAGGUGGGACCUAUUGUCGCGAUUGCCGUCAACUCGCGUUCAACUUUUAGAGAUUAGUGGCCAAAGCAACCGACAUCCCCAAACACGGUGGCAGUCUGUAAAAUAUUUAAAAAGGCUUGCUUCAAUUGUGAUUGUUUUUUAAAUUUGCUCCUAUAAAAAUGGUUGUGUGCAUCGAUUAAUGUAGAGGCUGGAACUUCUUAUCUCCUUUUCGGGAAAAAAAAUGUUGUAUUAUUGUAUACGAUGUACUAUUGACCAAUGGCCACAUAGUUCUACACCCAGCCAGAAGAGUUCGAAGCAACAAUUUGGCUCUGAUCGUCGCUAUUGCAGCUCCUCAUUAGACACUCUCCUCCCUAUACAAGUGCCCAGCCACUUCUUCAAGCACUCAGUUUUGGCAUCCCGGCACUUCCCAUGCCUAUCACACGGUGUUUAUCAUCGUGGUACUUUCGGAAAAGAUAUUCAAAUAUAUACAACAGAAACAAAUGACUAAUGAAUAUGUCAACACAUAUCUUCUCUUCUUGCAGGCAUUAGUCUUUCAUCAAUAUAUAUACAGAGAGAUGCAUGGCUGCUGGAUGCGCCAACUCUUUAUUGAACAAGGAGGCUCAUAUUUUUUCUUCUGUGCAUGUCAUUUAGUGGGUGAGCGUAUUAUUCAUUGUGCCCAGCGAUUUUGUUCUCCUGGAGAAAUGAGUGCAGGUACAAAAACCUGCUAUAAAUAAAAUGGCCUUUGCGCCAUCAUUUUUCUAUUCGAAUUAGAGGUCUUUGUGCCAUCUUACCACCUCAGAGCAUUGCAAGGCAAAUAUGACAAUCGAAGAGAGCAUCGAGCUGUUUCUGUAGAAGUAAAGUAAUCUGUCAUGAUUUCAUUUUGCUUGUGGUUUGACAUUAAUUUUAUCAUCGAGCUAGAUAUAUAGCUCGCAUUUACACUGAGUUGAUGCUGCAGCCUGCAGAAGUACAAGUAGAUGUUUUGGCAUGGGAGGCAUCAGGACAAGUUUCCUGUCGAUGCUGAACUUCUCCACGUUUUUCUGGCUGUCUGGAGAGUGGUGCUUCGUCAAGACACGCCGGACUCCAUUUCGUGGAUGCCAAACAAGUGCUCAACUCAGCGCAUGUCAUAAGCAGAAUUAGCUAGGGACACGAUAUUUACUUGGUGUUUGGCUGGUAACACUCACCUAGACACCCUGAUUUAGGAUGCCCUGUGAGAGGUUUUCCCUCUCUCUUUUUGGGUUUUCCUUUAUGUACUUUGCAGUUUCAGUAGCUCAUUGAAUCGACACAACCAGCAGACAAAUGAAAUUGAGGUGAAAGGUAUUGUGUCCGCUAGAAACUCAUGAUCGAGCUUUGUUGGAAAAAACUAGUAUCAUGACUUGCAUGUUGAACGAGUCGUGUCGCGACGUGUGGGGUCAGUUUGCUAGGUGAUCUCUGGAUAAUAAAAGAGGUAAUAAUAUUGAAACUACAAGAACUUGUAUUGCGUGGUGGUACAGUAACUUGACUUGCAAUGGCACAUUUGGUCAUAACCAAUGAAAGGCGACAUGUUGCUUGUGGUUGACUGGUUCAUUUUACGCAAAGGCCCCCCAGGCGUUUCGCAUAUUAAAAAGCCCCUCCUGUUGACAUGAUAUAACGUUGUUCGUUUUCUCCCUGUCUUUCUGUCACCUGAAAUUGUGGUGCAUGAAACGUGGGGAAAUACAAGACCUGAUGACGAACCUACGUUACCUCAGUAAGUUCCUGGACGCUAAUAAUGAUGGGUGAUAAGGAUCUAAACGUUCAAACGAGUAAAUGACCUGAUGACGAACAAUAAUCAUGAUUAGGGAACGGCCGUGCGGAGCCAUGACAUCCACGCACGCGCGCACAAGGCAACACCAAUUCGACCAGCGCUCAUUCAUUCGUUCCGUUUCAAGAAAAAUCUAGCUGGCUAGCUAGCAAAUGCACGUAGACCUCACAAUGGCAGAGUUCAGUUUGGAAACGAACCCCGUGGACGUACGUGGAGGAUCCAACGGAAAAUUUGAUUCGGAGUUUUUUUUUAAGAAGCAAAAUGGCGUUGUGGCAUUUUAUAAAAUGAACAAGUCAAGCCACAUGUCGUCCCUCCAUUGGAUAUGACCAAACGUGCACUUGCAAGUCAAGUUACUGUACCACCUAGCCUCAUUUUACAAUUUUUUGUACUAAACUGCUCGCACAAUACAAGUUCUUGUAUCUCUAAUGUUAUUGCCUCUUUUAUUGUCCUGAGACCUACCAAUCCCAAGCGAACCUGCGCUUUGAGAACGUUCUCAAUCAUCAGAAAUCACAAAUCAGAAUAACCAUCAAAGAUCACAAGCUACCUCUAAACAAUCUACUUUAUAUGCAGCCAACGUGAACACGGCCCCUGUUGUAGUUAAUUAUUACCUUGUAUAUGCUUUGGCUAGUCCAAGGUAAUGGCCUCAAUGCAUAGGCUAUUUUAUAGCCAAUUCAUCCAUCCAGUCUUCUAUACUGAUAGGACAGGUCAAGGACCGAUCUUAUAACCAUGGUAAAGUAUCCAAGGCCAUGAAGUUCUUAUCAUGGUCUGCAAUAAAGUUCAACCCACCUCCGCGGUAUAAUUAACUUACAUUCGACUUAAGAACCAAUUGUUUGCUCAGAGUUUGGCAGGCUCAUGUUGUUGGGAUCUUUCACGGUACCAUCAAAUCAUUAUGAAACGUCCGUUUUAGUAGAUCCAAAAGCCCAUAUUAACCUAUUUUGUAGUGGAGGGCAAAAUUGUACGAAAUAAAAUCGAACACAUAAAUAAAUGAGCACACACUCGAAAAAGCCUCCAGUCAAGAGCUCGCAAGCAGUUUGGAACAUAGCUAACUACUCGUCGCAGGCCUCACCCAGUAAACCACAAAGAACGCCAUGGGACAACAGAUCGUCACUUGCCCCAUGACGCAGCAGCACCGGCACGCGAUCGCUGCACCUCUCAACCAUCCAUCAGCACCCCACGCCACGGCAACACGUGCUGGCCGACCCACGACGCCUGGCAGGGUUUUGGGUUUCGUUUUCCAUAUUUUAUUUUUGAACAACAAGAUGGGUGAAUUACAUUCGGUUAUUUCGGAACAAGAUUCGUCCAAAAUUAACAAAUAAAAUUUUGAAUUUAUGAUCGAAAUAUGGACGAAUUUUGGGUGAAAUCUGACCAAACCUUUUGAAACUUGGAAAUGACGAAGGUACUGAGCAGGAACCAAUGUAAAUCGGAGCAGAAUUUAAUAUAUAUGGACGAGCCCACAUGACCAACUGUUGUCCGUGCUCCAUGCUGCUGCCGCGGUCGGCUGCCGCAGCUCCUUCGAGCUCCAAGAUGAGAAAAUGUGGAUGAGAAGCGAGAACCUAGAACGUCUUGUGCGUCUCCAUUGUUAUCGCACAAUUUCCAUUCAUCUGAUUAUCUCUUUAACCUAAUUAGACUCUCUACGUUUUUUUCCUCUUGUAUAUCCCCUGACUUAAUGUCCAUCAGAAAAAUGAGAUGGACCAGACGGCUCGAGCACUGGUGUAUCCAACAAUGCUGCAAGGGAUGAUCUCAUCCUGAUACCUCCCAUGCCUGCGUGGAAGCGAUUUGAUGUGCAAGAGGAAGACAUGUUGUUACAUGUCGGAACCCAACAUUGGGAUGAAGAGUUAGCACAACAAUGGAUCAUUUCCUCUGUAUCCGGCGACUUUCACUAUGGCAGAUCCAUAAGCCAACUCAGGCUGAUGGAUAGAGUUUUUUUACGGUACUCCGGAUUUAAUAUGGACCAUUUAUUUGCCAUGAUCUAAUGGUCAGUAUUAUUUGGUACUCCAUCCUUGAUCCUCUGGAGUACCAAGUCGAAAACUACCGGAGUAUUGUGAAUCGGUGGCCAAAAUCGUAAUCCCCUGAGAACUGAGAUCUUGCUUAUUAAAAAAGGGACAAAAGAUUUGGGUUUGCUUUGCCGGAGCCCGGCAGAGCGGAAAAGGCCACCGCACCACGAUUAGGUCAACAACCCGGUGAGACAUGAGCGGAUGAGGCUGCUGAGCCAAAAUUGAAAAGCUGCACCGGUGGAGAGGAUGAACAGAUGGCAAGCACCUGCCUGCCCGGAUGAAUUUCUCUCUCUCCCCCAUUUUCUCUUCGUCAAAAGGGCUGCUGAUUGAUCUUACUAAUUAAUCACUCGAUGAUAAUGAGGCUGCAUGUACGAUUCAAGUGAUUCAACGCAUAUUAUCUAUCACCAGUACAAAAUGGGCCAUUCGCGACCCCCAUCAGUGGCGUGUCGCGUGGAAACGACACUGAUAGUCUGAUAGCAAACUAUCAGUGGCGGGUACAUCUCAGCACGCCACUGAUGGGACGACGAUGGUCCAUAUCUCGUCCCUCGGGGCAACCAUUAGUGGCGGUCUACAGGAAAACCGCCACUGAUACCUGACUAUCAGUGUCGGGCCGUAGUGCCGAUCAGUGUCGGUCAGGGAAACCCGACUCACCUAUCAGUGGCCAGUCUGUGGCAUGCGGGCCGCGCGCCACUGAUAGGCAAUUUCGCACGACACUGAUAGCCUGUUUUGUACUAGUGUAUGCACAAAUCGAAUGGGUCAUUGCAAGUGAUUCAUGCAUCUUGUCUUCCAAAGUGCCGUCGAUUAAUCUGACUAUAUGCAGGCUCUAAGUGAUUCAUGCACCUUUCAAGGAUGUGGUGCAGUGACGGACUGUUUCAAGGCAGAGCCUUUUUACAUCCCGACACCUACUAUUCUCAGUUUGUUCCUUCUUGUUCACCUAGAUAAGUAAUCAUGUAGGUACAUAAAUUCAAAGCCAUCAGACACAUUAAGCAAAACUAUCCUUCAUAUCAACUAGAUAUUCUUUAGCAUCGUUUGUUGCAGUGUUGUUGCUGGGUGUUCUACUAUGAUUCCAGAGAAGGAAUGCAUAUAUGGACGCUAUUAAAUAGCUCCUCGGUGCCACCGUGUUUAACAUUUGACUAAGAUGUAGCCAGUCCUUGUUAAAAAAGAAAGAGAGAGAUGUAGCCAUUAAUACUUGAUUGAUUAAGAGUGAAGAGGUGUAAAGUUCUCCACCUACUAAUUUACUCAUCUGCUCAUUUAAAUCAAAUACCAUCCUCCCACGUUGAUGACCAAUAUGUUCAAGAAAUGGUUGUUGGGUUAAAUGGGCGUUCAAACCUCAGAUAUUAGUGCGGGUCAGCUCUCUAAGUUGGUUGAUUUGAAUAUAUAUCAUACUGAUAUUGUUUUUGAUAAAAAUGAAAAUAUCAAAUGGUUUCAUUUGUGGUCUCUGCUGCAGCAAUAAGAGGACAAGGGGAGCAUGGAGGCAGGUGGCCAGUGGCAGGAGGCGUUUGAUUUGGAUUUUAUGUCUUCUUCUCGCACGUUACUUUUCAAAAUAAAUAAAUCCAAUAUCAGUAUGUAAUGUGCUGCGAUAUCUGGCCUUUGAACUCGUUCAAUGCAUUGUGAGAUCGAACAAAGCUUUAUCCACUCAGGCCUUGUUCGGUUGCAACGAUACUGGCAGGGAUUAAACGGGAUUUUGGGGAAGUUGAACUAGAAUUCCAGUGUUCCCCGUCGAUCCCUGCCGGGGUGGGCACAACCGAUGAUUAGAUUAAUUCAUGGGUCAUUGUUGUAUCUGAAACAUGGAGACAAGAAGGGAGGAGCGUUGGCGUAGUCUGGUGGGCGGAGGAUCAUCGGAGACUCUCAUUCACAGAUGGCAAGGAGAUCUUUUGCACCAGCUGGCACCAUCGAUCUCCGACUAGCAGAGCACCAAAGUGUACAUAUAGUACAGAACUCUAGCCAGCGGCAUGCAGAUAUCCCAAGCUCGUGGAAUACAAAUGCCCUGCCUGUCGUUGCGUUCGACAUCGGUGCGUAUGACUUUCCGAGACCUUUCAUUCCCAUAUAUGUGAGCAAUUCUAAAUUUACAAAGUUGAGGCAUGUAUAAACAUGUAGAUUUUAGCUAUCUACCCCACUGUUCAUUUUCUAGAUAUGAUCGAUGGACAUACUGGAAGUCAUUUUAUAGGGGAUAAUGGGAAUGACAUUUUAACACUGGAAAAUGCAGGGAAGUUUCAAACUCUACCAUCUUCACUCUAAGGUUCGUACUAUUUCAUUCCUUCCACAUGUUUCAUCGUCCUUCCUAUUGUAGAAAAGCCCACGUACGUGCUCAGCCAGUGAUGUACUAUAGUUCACAUUAUGCUUGCAAGUACCACCUAUAUGCAGUCGUCACAUUCAAAUUUAGGAACAUUGAAAUCCAAACCACCAAAGGACACACGAUCCUUCAAAUGAAAGCUCCUGAUAUCUUGCUUACCGUACCAUUUACUAGCAUGAGGUCGUUGUUCUAUUUUUUUGCACUCUCUUGUAUAUCAUACUAGUUGAUACCCCGUGCGUUGUUGCGGGAAUAUGCGGCAACAAUUCUGGGAGGAGAACAAACGUCAAGAUUUUCUUGAAAUAAGGCUUGUAUUCAUGUACCUUAUACAUUCGGUGACGGGGAGCCGAGCGCUGAAUAAUUCACAGAAAUGGUCAUCUAUGAGGUUAAAUCGCACUAUUAAUUAAGAUGUGGUUUGCAUAGUACAGUCAUAUCCAAAUGUAUACUAUUCAAACUUAUUUUGGCACAAUUCAACCUCAUUAAAAAAAACUUGAAACUUAAAAAUGCUUAUGUUGGAACUGAAAUUACACAUGUCCGUUUAUAGCAUAACAUACAUUGGAUUCAUAAUUCGAUAAUCCACAAAUGCCAAUUCGCAAAAGGAUCAUCAAUGCAUAUAUAAACAACUCCUAAAUAUGGCUAGGAGGAGCGUGAUUUUUCCUAACUUGUUAUCAUUUUGAGUUAUAAUCUCUGAAAUCUGCAUGAUGUUUGAGACUUAAUAAUAUAAAGGAUGUGGAGACCAGAAGGACUCACUCUUAAAAAAAACUAUUUAUUGUUAGAUGCUACUCUUGAGAUCUCAAUAAAGAGAUAAAUCAGUUCCAUUGUGAGUUUGUGACCAGGUAGGCAUAAACUAACCAAUUAAGAUGUGGUCGGAUGGGUAACACCUGGUAAGAACAACGUGCAGUAUGUCAAAUUCAUGUUGAUUUAACAACUGAAAUAAAAAACAGAUAGUCAGAGAAUAAAGCAUGUGAUCGUGGACAAUUAGAAAGGGAUCUAGAAUUGAAAACCUAUACAAUAAAGUUCUGCCGCUCAUUAUAAACUGCCACUGCAAACAAAUCACCCGCAAGGUGUAAAAUGGCCACAUAAGCAUGGUACAAAGAGAAGUCCAAUUAAUGAAAGAAAUCCUUGGAGAAAUAGUAGAAGACUGGAAAGAUGUUGAGAGAGAGAAAAACAAAGUCACAAAUCUUGCGACAGAAUCACCUGCAUACAUAUAUAGAGAAGAUAAUAGUCUCCAAGUCCUUUAUUUGCACCUGAACAGUAUCAAUCAUCCUCAUUCUUCUGCAAAAUCUGGUGAUCAAGACUUCAUGUGGACAUAAUCUGGCAAACGAACAGUUUGCACGCUAAAAAGAACCAUUGGAAUCUUGCAAAAAAGAAAGGGGGAAACUUUUCUCUAUUCUUUUUUGCCGUACCUGAAGUACCUGUCAGGCGAGAAGGCUCUUGUCGUUGGCCAAGCGGCUCAAGGCCAGAAUCGCCGCCUCCGUGGUGCCAUACUCCUGCACGAUGCCAGCCACAAAGCUCCCGGCCGGCACGACGUAGGCGUAAUGCACUACGGGCAUGCCGUCGACAGGGUCGCAGCUGCAGGCCAAGGGGAUCCAGAGCUCCUGCCCAACGGCGACCUAGUUGGGGUCGGAGAUGUUUUUGGCGGCGGCGGUAUCCCGGUAUGUGAUGAGCCCCACGAAGACGGAGCGGGCCACGGCGUCCAGCGUGUCCCAGGUGCGGACGCGAUAGGCGGGCCGCUGGAAGGUGACCCGGGCGCCGCCGGAGAAGAGGCAGGAGAGAUCCUCUCGAUCUCUAUCAGCGUGACUUCGGAAGCGGACUGUCCACUUCCUUCCAGCUGAAGAUUAAAGGCAGCGAGUGAAGAGGAGGAAAGUGGGGAGAUUAGUAAACCACCGGGAAGAGGGGCGGUCCUUAAUUAAUUCAUGGAAGCUUCGGUUACAGAAUUAAUGGAAGAUGAAUGGGGAGAGGAAAAACUGAAGAAGUAACGCACUGUCGGACGGGGGAGGACCGGCAGGGAAGGCGAAGUAGCGCAGGCCCCAGGAACAGGGAAGGCAAGUGGACGGGCAGGCGAAACAGGGGCGAAACAACGCAGGCAGCAGGAAUCGGGAUCGAAGCAAUCUUUUUUUCUGGGCUGCGAACUUGGCCCACGGGUGCUGACUGUUAGUAACGUGACUUGUCUUGCACGUUUGUACAAGCCGUUAGUAUUGGUUAGCUGAUCUAGUUUAUCCCAACGUCUCUAACUUAUCUUAGUAGUUCGUUGGCAGCUUAUUCAGUAGUUUGUUGGCUAGAUUGUAGGAGUUAGCUGCUCUGCUGAAGGCAUCUGUACAUGUAUUUAUAUCCUUUGUGUUCAUCAAUACAAUCAAAGUGUUGAGCCACUCCAUCUCUCUCGUGUCUUACAUGGUAUCAGACGCUCGACGUCUCUGAGACCGCACUCGCUUCCGCUGCCCUCAUGGCAAACCCUGACACCAGCCUCCCUCUGACCUCCACGGCGACCGGCGCACUCACAGCUUCAACUGCCGCUCUUGUGUCGCCUACUAUCCUCCCUCCUGGCUCCACUCCACAGCCUGUAGGCAUCGCCGCUGCCCUCGGCGCCGGCACAGGCCCAGGCGUCUCCCUGAGCUCGCCCAUGGCACCUCUCCCCACUGCCCGUGCUCUCUUUGAUGAUGAUGUGGCCGCCACAUCCGUCGUCCGCGAUGCGGGCGCCAUCCCGGUGACGGCUGCCUCUCUGCAGCAUAUCCGCAUCAAGGAGCACGUUCUCACCGCCCUCGACCUCAAGCGAAACAACUAUGGCCGGUGGAGCACCCUCUUCAUGAAGGUCAUCGGCCGGAACGGCCUCGAGGACCACCUCGUUGCCGGCGCCGACCACAAGCUUGAGGACGCCGAAUGGAUGAAGGUCGACCUCACCAUUGUGUCCUGGCUCUACACCACCAUCAGCGAGGAGAUCCUUGACAUCAUCCUCGCGCCGCACGAUCCGGCUUUCGUGGUAUGGACAAAACUCUCAAGUCUUUUUCUGGACAACAUGAUGACUCAGGCCGUCUACAUGGAGGAGGAGUUCCGCAGUCUGCAGCAGGGCCACCUCUCCGUCACGGACUACUGCUCGCGCCUCAAGGUCCUCGCCGACGGCCUGCGUGACGUCGGCAUUCAGGUCUCCGACCAGUCCAUGCUCUUCAACAUGCUCCGUGGUCUCAACCCUUCUCUCGGCCACGCCAUCUCGGUGCUCACCAUGCAGCAGCCACUGCCAUCCUUCAUGCGCGCCCAUUCGUAUUUGCUGCUCGAGGAGCAUCGCCAGGAGCAAGCCGUGCGUCGUCAAGCUGCUGCCGCCUUCUUCGUCGACCGCUUCGGCGCACCGGCACCUGCGUCCCCGCAGGGCUCUCCUUCCAGCAGCAACAAGAAGAACAAGAAGCGCGAGACUGCGUCGACCUCUCCGGCCGCCGGCGGCUCGCGCUUCCCCAACUCGCCUGCCGCACCAUCCUGGCCACACGGCGUCAACCCAUGGUCUGGCACCUUUCAGGCCUGGCAACAGACACCGCGUGCACCCGGCGCUGGCGUCCUCGGUCCCCGGCCACCCAUGGCGCCCACUGCUCGGGAAGCCUACAACGCCAACACCUCCAUGAUGGCGCCAUCCUUCAGCUCGGCGACGCCCGUGGCUCCUGCUCUGGAUCCCAACUUCAUGGUGGCCAUGCAACAAAUGUCGCUCCAGAACAACGGCGGCGGCGACUGGUUCCUUGACACGGGCGCCUCGUCGCACAUGACGUCCAGCACAGGUAACCUCGCCUCCUUCUCCCCUUACUCUACCUCGUCUCAAAUUACAGUAGGUAAUGGUGCUCAUCUUCCUAUUACUGCAAUUGGCACUGCCUCUAUUUCUACUUCUGCUCGUCCUCUUUAUCUUCGUAAUGUACUUGUCUCUCCUAACCUCGUUAAGAACUUACUUUAUGUACGAACUCUCUCACGAGAUAACAACGUUUCUAUUGAGUUUGACCUGGCUGGUUUCUCUGUAAAGGAUCUGCAUUCCAGGGCGGCGAUUCUGCGAAGUAACAGCCCCGGCGAUCUGUACCCGGUUCGGUCAUCCCCUGGAGCUCGUCCUUGUCAUGCCGCCUUCACUGCCACCUCUGUCAGCUGGUGAUUUGUCGGGCGGCGUAUUGGCUCCGUACUUGGUCCCCGCUGCUUCCGACGGGGGCCAAGGAUUUUAUGGAUUUUGGGUGCAGCCUUAUGGCACUGCUCGAGAAAAGAUUAGCAGCGGCGGUCCGAAUUACACACCGGUGAAGGUAACGCGGACCGCCACUAAGCCUGCGCCAUUGGUGCUAAAGAGCAUCGGUGGCGGUGAUGAUACCUGCCACCGGUGCUAGCCAGCACCCGUGGCGGUUUGCACAACCGCCGCAGGUAAUCCGUAGGGAGCUUCAGAAAGUGCACCGGUGGCCGUGGGAAGGACAGCCACUGUUACAUACCAGUGGCGGCGCGUCAUCACGGCCACUGGUAGUGUACGAGUGGCGGUGAGUACGCAACACCACUGGUACAUUACAGUGACGGUGCUUACCCACCGCCACUGGUAGUAUACCAGUGGCCGUGAUGCCUCACUGCCACUGGUAUGCUUUCGUAGCACCAUUGGCGGUUCUCUGUCACCGCCACUGGUACUGCACCGGUGGCGGUGGGACGCAACUGCCACUGUACUCUAUUAGUGGCGGUGAACAGGAACCGCCGCUGUUAUUUUCCGGUUUUAGAAAAAUAUUUUUUUUAUAUUAGAAUAUUCCUGUAACAGUAAUAUAUCACAGCACAGCAAUAGAUAUAUAUAUGAGAAAAUCACACAUCCAUGAUAGAUAACAGCAUCCGUUCACAAAAUGUAGUACAAAAACACAGAUAUUCAAUAUUUAACAUUGUACAUCAAAGUUUCAAUACAUCGGCACAACCCCACCUUCAUAAAAAUCACCGUUUUCCUUCAGAACCUCUUUGUUGAGAAUGGUGGCUAUCACCCUCUGAAUAUCGAACACAAGAACAACUGGGUUGUGUCCAUAUUCUGAUUCCUACUUGAAGUAAUCCACCAUCUGCUGGUAGCUCAUCUUCGUCUUGGGCUUGAAAUUGGUGAUCCAAUUGCGGAUGAUGUACGCGCAGUAGUAACCACAGAAGACCGUACCUUGCGGCUGUUGUAUGCAUGGGAAGUUUCUAUGAUGGGUUAUUUUCUUCCUGCCGUAGCUUGGCAACUCAUAUUCAGUCACCUCCUUUUUCCACGCCUCUUCAAAGAGUGUUCCGACGGCUUUGAAGUCGUGCUACUCAUAGCCUUUCUUCCGUCGGAGUGGAUCAAGAUACGUCACCGACCCUUCUUCGAAAGAGAAGGCCACCACCACCCAAUGUUCGCUGUUUACAAAAAGAACACACAUUUAUAACCGAAAAGAGAACAACUUAGUGGAACAAGAAAGAAAGCAAUGGCCGUGAGAACAACUUACUCUAAAUGGUAGAGUGUAAGAACAUAACGGCGUUGCUUGUGCAUUGCGAAAAACUUAGAUUGGUAUGAAAUUGCCUUCUCUCUCGAACCCCAUUUCCAUUCUUCUAGACCGAUGGUUGCUUUGCUGAACAGUAUAGGAUCGACGAUGGCAACGUGUGGUUCUUUCAGGCGGAAGGACUCUCUUGUGAAGUAUACACACCAGACUCUUAACAUGUUGUUGUCUAAGCACUUUUGGUUGAAGACGUGAAACAAGUCAAGGAAGUCCACGCUGAAGGUAAAUUCCUUUGUCUACAGGUCCCCCGUUUCGGCAUCGUAGAAACCAUAAUACUCUGGCAUCUUCACAUUCAUCUGUUGACCAUGUUGUGCAGAAUUAGCUGAUGAUGCCAUGUAGUAGCCAUGUAGCUCUUGCAUCUCUCACGGCAGGCUCCUUAGGUCCUUAAGGCUAACCAUUGGUUGUCCAGGGUAGAACAUCAGCACUUUUUUUAAUUCCCUGGCCACGAAGUAGGCUCCGCCGACUAAAUCACCAGCUACAGGGGGGCUUCAUAUUCAAAAUAUCUGGCCGGUUUCCCAAUUCCCUUCGAUUAUUGGCGGAUUGCUGUGUUGCUUGCCCGUUGAGUCCAACUCUUUACUCUUCGAGUCACUUGAUCUCUUGCUGAUUUUGUACCCCCUCUUAUUGGUGCGCCGGCGUUUCAAAAACUCGGCCUCCUCUUGAUCCUUGAAGGUCUGGGAGACCUGCUUGCCAGACGCGUACUCCAACGCGCCUGCCACAGAUUUCCAUGGCACAGGUGCAGGUCGUGGUGGUUGUGAGGGUUGGCUGUCUUUACGGUGGGGCGGCGACGGAUUAGGCGGUGGCACAUGAGCUGGUGCAGUGUGAUCAUCGCUGCAGUCUUGGCGCUGGUUCGAAAUCGAAGCCUCCUUGCCUCGACGUUGGUGAAUCCAGACGUGACGACUUAUUGGGGGAUGGGCCAAGGGGCGAUGGAGAGGGAAGUCAUCGAGCGGAAGCCAGUGGAGACGCUCCGGGACACGACGGAGAGGGAGAAGGUUGGGUAGCAAGGGCAACCAACCUCCUGGGCCACUGGAUGUACGUGCCCUGGCAUAGCCCUAGAGUCACUGAUUCCUGCUCUGGAGGAUAAGGGACCGGCGUCUUGUCAAAUUCCGGGAGCACGUAGUUCACCUGCACCCUGACAUGAUCCAGGGCCAUGGGCGUGUUGUGCACGACCGUCAUUCUUGGCAUCAUCAUACCACGCGCGCCUACCGGAUUCCCGGUGGAUGGCAUCAAUAUCCGGCACUUAAUACUGUUCUCUGCAUGACAAACAAAUUAACAUACGUACGUUAGUGUUAUGGUGUGAAGAAUGACGUAAUUGCGUAUAUAUAUACUAUGGUACAAGUAAGGAGCUUACCGGGAUGUCAUCAGAUGGGCCAACAGGGUCAUCGGGAGUUCGGUGCCGGAGUCAGCACUGCUCUUAUACAGUGGCAGCGAAGGAUUGGAGUCAACUGAUGAUCAUUCGUAGUCAUAGGCCUUGGUGUCGCGCCCCGAUAGCCAUCAUAUGUAGCAACGAACUCCUCCAUAGUCUGGACGGAGUCCCUUGCUUUUUACAAGCAAGCGAAAAACUCCUCCCUCGUCGCCUUUUUCGCCACCUCUAUUAUUUCUUCGUGCUUCUCGGCCUUUCUUUCACGGCUCCGGGCUUCUUUCUCUUGAGGAAAGACUUUGCGGCAAAGGGCCUCGGUUCCUAAGGCUCGAAUAUGGCCCCCGUGCUCAUUUCUUCCUAGAGCAUAGCUGAGUGGUGAAUCCCAGUGUGCACGGAGCUCGUCGUGGGAGCCUUCCGACUCGAACUCGGCGACCUUGUCCUGAAAUAAGACAAAGUCGUUGCCAGUUUAUAAGUGAGUGUGUUAGAAGCUAAACUGAAAAAGAAGUGGCGGUUGAGGCCUUGCGAUUAAAACUUUCUGGUCUUCGCGGAUAGGCUUCAGGCCCGCCCACUGUUCUUUGGUCAUGGUACUCCGCACAAAGGUGGUGGACCGGUCAUGACGGAGCAUUGUUGGGACAGGAGGGACUAUCCUUCGACCACGUAGCGCCGCGUACCAAUCUUGGGUUGCUAUGAAUUUUGGAUCCUUUUCCCUCUCCUUGAACUCCUCCCAUUCCUCCUCUGUGAUCCUCGGCCAUUUCUUCUGAAUCGCCGACUCCCAAUCUUCGUACAAAAAAGCUCUGGCCUUGGUACCCCAAUUGCUCUGACCCCUACGCAUUGUGGUCUUCAUCGCUCCAAAUACUUCUUCACGGAGCACGGGAUCAGGCACCUCGAACCUCUCCCAUGCCUUGGCGUAACAAUCUUGCUUUACGCUCUCAGGAACCUCGGUCCAUCUUUGAUUGAUGUUCGUGAACUCGCGAACGAUUGCAUUGCAUGUGUUGGCAAAACACGACGCGGCCCUCUUUGGUGAUUUGGGUUUCCCCACGUCGUCAGUCUUGGUGACGAUGAAUUUCUCAUUCGUCGGCUUGUUAGACCCACGCGGCGCCUUCUUCUUCUUCUUCGAAGUAGCUUGCAACGUGGUAGCCUCAGAGCCUGCAUUGAAGCCCAAAGAAUCACCGCCGCCGUGUUCAGGCUCGUCGUCUUGGCUAUGGGUUAUUGGUGUGCCCAACGACGAAGAACCCUGAGGUGAGUCCUCAGGGUAUUCUCCAUCGCGACCCUGAGCUUUCUAUACAAUGCCCUUACAUGGAUUACUUUAAAAAAUUGAAAAAUUCGGCAUGACCCGUACUGUAAAUCUAGAAAAAUUCGGCAUGACCCGUGUUGUAAAGCUAGCGAAUUGGUCUACCCGAUAAUGAAACCUGCAUAAAAAUUACCCACCCACAUAUACCCCCUAGGCGCGAUGGCCGGCCCCUUAAAUUUCAAUGGCCUCGGCACGAUGGCCAGCCCACAUCAACAAGAUGCAUGUUACUUCCAUCGAGCAUGCCACAUCAUCACAUAAUUAAUUUGUUCAGAAAAACCCUAAGCAUGUUACUUCUAUCAAGCAUGCCACAUCAUCACAUAAUUAAUUUGUUCAUCAAAUUUGAAUCGUAAUCCCUAACCCUAAAAAGCAACAACUAAUCCCUAAUUUCCCUAACCCUAACCCUAAUUACUAACCUAAUUUGAAUCCUAACCCUAACCCUAAUCCCUAAUUUCUAACCCUAACCCUAAUCCUAAUUUCUAACGUAAUUUCAUAAAUAACAGUAUUUAUGAAACAAUGGUAGCCCUAAUUUCUAACCUAAUAACAGUAUGAAUUUGAAUUCUAACCCUAACCCUAACCCUAAUCCCUAAUUGCAGCAAAACUAAGAAUCAAGAGGAAAAAAUUGAACUAAGAAUGACGAGGAACUUACCUCGUCAGCGCCGGCAGCCGGGGAGCCCGGUGGUGUGUCACGGGGGGACGCCGGAGUUCGCACCUUGUCCAAGAAGUCUGGCGGGCCCGAUUCCGCCGUGCGGCGGGGUGGUGCCGCCACCUCCGUCGGCUCGUCGCAGGGCGGGAGAUCCGCUGUGGCUGACACCGUGGAGAAGCCACGGCGGCGGCCGGUUCCCCGCGUUCGCACCAUGGCGGCACCGGCGAGUCAGAGACGCGGGAGAAGGGAGAAGAGCGGAACGGCGCGAGUGGGGGAGGGAACGGCGACGGCGGCGACGCGAGUGGGGGAGGGGAACGGCGGCGGCAGCGACUUGGUGACGCGACAGGGCUUCGCUCGCAUUAGGGUUAGCUGUACCGCUGCUGGUCUGAGAGACGCGCGGGCGAGUGUUCGAAAUUUCGCCAAGUCCCGUUGCUAUCUAUUUAUAGCAUGUCAGCACUAGUGGCGGUCCGAGAGAAAGAACGGCCACUAGUGCUGGCCAAGGAGACUUUUGUGCCAGCACUAGUGGCGGUUCACCAAACAAAACAGCCACCCGUGCUAAGCACCAGUGACUGGUUUGUGCCGCCAAUCGCCACCAAUGCUUCUCAGGGCCUAUAGCACUGGAGCAAGCACUCGUGGCGGUCUAUUUGCAAAACCGGCCACUGGUGCUGCACCAGUGCUCCUGGAUCUAGCACUAGUGGCCGGUUUGUGCCACCAACCGCCACCAGUGCUCCUCAGUGCCUAUAGCACUAGAGCUAGCAGUGGUAGCGAUCUAUUUGCAAAACCGGCCACUGGUGUUGCACCAGUGCUCCUGGAUCUAGCACUAGAUACUAAUUUCUGAAUCAAGUUUUAAACUCAUAUUAUAUUCUGUGUACCCCCAAAAAUUAAAACACCUGUCCUUUUUUUUCACCUUGGUUUAUCAUUUUGGAACCAUCUAGGGUAGAUCUCUCAGAAACCAUCCAACCCCAUGAACCAAAUGUGACAUGUUAUCUUUGUUUGAACUUCAAUUUUUUUAGGAGUGUUCUAUAGCAAUAGGGAAGUGUCCACACCAAAUUUGACAAUUUUUUGAGGAAAGUUGAAUUUUAUAUAAUUUUUAUAGCACAAAAGCCAGACAUAAUGGCACUUAAUCAUAGAAAUUAGGGUAUAUAACAUUUAUAUUUAUGGUUCAAUUGUUUAUUGAGGAUAAACAAUAUUAUUAUACACAUAAAAUAAGAGGUGGUGUGUUUAUUUAAAACCCAGAGAAUAUAAUAUGAAUUUAGUAGCUUACUGGAAAUUCAUCACCAGUGGCGGUUUUUGUCUUGAGAACCGCCACUGAUAGGUGGUACACAAACUUAGGGUCUCCAAUGAUCCUGCGAAUCAUACCAGUGGCGGGUCUAUAGCUGCAAGCACCGCCACUAGUGCUCAAUAGUAGUGGCGGUUUGCCGUGUACUCACCGCCACUAGUGGUUAAAGCGUAUCAGCGGCUUAUGAAUUUAUACCAAAAUUCUCUCUCAAACUUCCUAUUAUUGAAACAAAAAGAAAAAAAUAGCAGAAAGAAAAAUGAUAGAAAAAUAGGCGAGAAAAGAAAAAUCAUACCAGUGGCUGUUUUAGUUGCCCGCACCGCCACUAGUGCUCAGUACUAGUGGCCGUUCAAUUCAUUUCACCACCACCGGUGCUUCACACCGGUGGCGGUUCUUUCGUUUUCACCGCCACUAGUGCUCCUCAGCACGAGCUUUCACGAAGCGAGUUGGGAGUUUAGUCCCACCUCGGUUGUUUACAGCCGUUGCGACCAACAUAAAUAGGAAUCUCCAACUCGGUCAUCACUUCCGAUUCAAUUUCCCGUGGUACUCUGCUCCUGGCCUGUGGGCCCGGUUGUGCUUUGUUCCUGGCCUGUGGGACCGGUUGUCGGUCCGAUUGUACUUGGUGGGCUCGGGCAAAGCCAUGUGGGCCCGGUCAAACCGGCAUUAGUAGGUCAUAGGCAGCACCCUGGUUCACCGGAAUGGGCCCGAACCCGAAAAGCCGUGUUGACUGGGUGGGCUAAUUUUUUUCCAAGAAAUUUGAUCAAGUUAUUUUGAAGUCUAGAAAAUAUUUAAGACAUUUGAUUUCAAAUUUGAACAAGUUAUUUCAAAUUCAGAACAUAUUUAAGACAUUUGAUUUGAAAUUUGAACAAGUUAUUUCAAAUUCAGAACAUAUUUUUUAUUUCAAAUUUGAACAAGUUAUUUCAAAUUCAGAACAUAUUUAAGACUUUUGAUUUCAAAUUUGACAUAAUACAAGUUACAAUUUUCCAUUCAAAAGCAUUGUUAAACAUCAACUACGAAAAGAUACACAAAUAUUCAACUAUUCCACAAUCUUGUCCUUCUUUUUUCUGGUCUUCUUCUUCCUCUUAUAUGUCGUUGUGGCCGCUUCCCUCUCUUGCCUCAGGUCUUGACUUCUUCCUUGCCUGGAUUGUGCGUGACGCUUCUUCUUCUUCUUGCUUUGACGUUGGAUCAAAAAAACCUUCAUAGUCUUGUUGUGAAGUAACUCCGUCGAUGCCAACUAUGCUUCUUUUCCCUCUCCUUACGACAACACGGUUCUUGCUUGUCGGGUCGUCGAUGAAGAAAACUUGUUUGCAUUAUGAAGCAAAUUGCCAUGGUUCCCAUCUUGUCGGGAUUUUCUUCACGUCCACUUUAUGACGAGGAACCUCACGAGAUAGGGUCAUUGUUGUGAAUCUAUGAUCUUCUUGAUGGUGGUGAAGGUGUAGUCAAGCUCCCAGAUCUCUUCGAUCACGCUAUAGUACGGUUCUAUAGUGCCUUGGUUAUUAGAACUAGUCUCAGCAACCAGCGCACUAUACCGCUAUUUUGGUAACUGCUCUUACGAUCUUGAUCCUUGGUGUAGUACGUAUACCCGUUUAUUGCGUAUGACUGGUAAGUCACUACGCAGCCGUCGGGUAGCCGCGAGAACUUUUGAGCGGUCUUUUCUUCUUCAUUUUCCGCCACCCUGGCAUACCAAAAACUCUCGAGCCACAUGGCGAAUGUUACAUUGUGGGUCUUGUGUAUCCAAUCAGCACUCCUGUUAGGGUACCGGUUUUCAAGUUCUUCCAUAUGCAUGUCGAUGAAAGGCUGGACCUCGUACAUAUGUUGCAGCACCAUUGUAUGUUCUCUCAUAUAGUUAUCCUCUCUCCCCGAUGAAUAUACAUCCAGAACUUUCCGGCCAAGCCCACCUUGACCUUCUAGUUUGCCCUUAUGUCAUGGUUCGGGUACUCCUAUGGGUUUGCGAUCCGCCAACCAAUCAGUGGCGUACUCCACACACUCUUCUGCAUGGUAGCCUUACAUGAUGCUACCUUCCGGAUGCCCUCUGUUACGAACAUACCGCUUCAGCACCCCGUUGUAUCGUUCGGGCCCAUACAUGUUGUGCAGAAAGGAGGGCCCUAGUAGGAUUAUCUCAUCGGUGAUAUGGACCAUCAGAUGUACCAUGAUAUCGAAGAAUGUUGGAGGGAAGAACAUCUCACAUUCACACAAAAUUUGUAUCAUUGAAUCCUUCAGCUGGAGACAGCGUUCCACCGUGAUGGACUUUUGCCCGAUUGUGUCAAAGAAGUCACAAAACUUCAUGACCGUCUCUCUGACCCAUGGCUCCAUGGCACCUCUUGUUGUAACUGGGAAUAACAGCUUGAUAAUCACGUGGCAGACAUGAUACUUCAUACCAACAAGCUUGUGACUUUUCAUGUCAACGAGUCUCUUGAUGCUGUACGAGUAGUUGGAUGGAACUUUAAUGCUUUGGAGACACUGGCAUAUUCUGUGUAACUCGGUUUUGCUCAAGGUGUAACAUCAGGUUUACAUCGUGUCGUUACCGUGACUUCACCAUUGUGGUCUUCCGAUGACUCUUCCUCUACCGCACACAGCUUCUUCCUUAUGCCCAAGAACUCCAGGUCCUUCCGUGCCUUUGGCCCAUCUUUUGUCUUAUCUGCAUUGUUCAUUAGCAAGCCCAACAAGCUAUCACAAAUGUUCUUCUCGACGUGCAUGACAUCUAUGGUGUGACGGCUUUGUAAGAAUUUCCAGUAAGGCAGGUUCCAAAACACCGACCUCCUUUUCCACACAGGUCCAUCGCUAUCCUUCUCUUUCGCUUGCGGAUUUUCUUUCCCGGCAACAACUUCCAAGUUCCUAACAAUUUCAUAGAUUUCGUGCCCAGUCUUUUCCCUGGGCUUCGGGUGAGGUUCUGACCUCCCAUUGAAGUUUUUCUUGUCCUUCCUCCAUGGGUCAUCGGGUUGCAACCAUUUUCGGUGUCCCAUAUACACAAUCUUCUGUGAAAUUGACAGCCUAUGUGAGUUCGUUUCAUCCCCGCACUUUGUACAAGCUUUGUACCCAUGUGUGUGUUGGCAAGAUGAGUUCCUGUUCACAGGGUAGUCAUGCACACAUGUCAGCAGAGCUGCCCGAAGGAUGAACUCCUCCUUCUUGUGAGCGUCUCAAACCUUUUGGCCCGUACUCCAAAGUUCCGCAAGUUCAUCUUUCAGUAGCUCCAGGUACACGUUCAGAUCAGCUCCCGGUUGCUUAGGGCCUUGUAUGAGCAUGGAUAGGUGGAUCUACUUCGUCUUCAUGAUAAGCCACGGAGGAAGGUUGUAUAUGAACAGGAUCACCGGCCAUGUGCUGUGUUUGCUGCUCAUGUCUUCGAACGGAUUGAUUCCGUCCGUACUCAUCCCGAACCUGAUGUUCUUGGGCUCUGAGCCGAAGUUUGGAAACUCCUCGUCCAGGGUCCUCCAUUGAGCUGCAUCGGCGGGGUGUCUAAGUACACCAUCGUCGUUACGGUACACCCCAUGAGGAUCCACUACAACAAAACAUAGUUUAAGUAACACAGUCAUGUAACACAUGUUAAAAUGUGUUACAGAUAAAAAUUGUUGUAACACAUCUAGUGUGUUGCAAGCCAGUCAGUAACACAUGGUAAAUAAAAUCCAAAAAUAUGUUACAAAGUUAGUACGAUAGUAACAUAUACAUUUAUGUUGGUCCAAAUGUGUUACAAGUUGUAGGUUCAGUCACACAUCUUCAGUCACACAUAAUCAUGUGCGGUAGUGUUACAAGCUCAUCAAGAGGAAAAAGAGAGUGGACCGUUGUAAUAAAACAUGCAUGGUUAGACCUACCUGGCACGUAAACAAAAUAAAAAUUGUUUGAAGGUAAAAUAUGAACCAGUUUAAUAAAUAUAUCAAUUGCCUCAACAAUAGGUAUCGAACACUAGACCUCAGGUAUGAGGCAUCAAUGAGCAUACCACUGCGGCAUCUGUCUAAUGCUGAAUAAUUAGCAAGUUUUAUGUAUUUGACACCGAGGUUCGCCCUAUGUGAUUAACCUGAGAUUGUAAUGGGCCUGGUCCAGGCAAAAAAGGAGAUAGCAGACGUGAUUAGCCGGUCAGAUGCGGCCCAACGGGAAGAAAGGAAUUUAGAAGAAUUUCUGAAUAAAGAUGUCACAAGAAUUCAAAUAAGUAAAAAAGAAAUACCAUAUUAAAUAAAAAAUUUAUAGUCCCUACUGUCUUGUGUCAAAAAAAAAUCCAAAAUUUAUAGAACAAUUGGAAUAGGAAUGUAAAGUGUGGUUUGUUCAUUUGAUAUCAUCUUUAGGAUGGCCGAUUUAAAAUACCAAAUGAGCUGCCGUAGAAAGAGAGAUGUACAAUAUACAAUCCUCCUCAAACUAGCGUAUAAUAAUAUUAACAAUGCUGGCCGUUACAUUGUCCCAUCUGCAAUUAAUAAUUUUAUCCAAAAGGAAAAGAGGCUGGCAGCUUGCUUAACGCGUACAAGUCAACACCGCGUGGAGCAUGAAGCAAGCUAGGGGUGGCAUCAUCUCCAUGUUACUACUAUAAUCGAAACAACGCUAAAUCUAUGAACAAAGUAUAAAUUUUGACAGAAUAUCCUUUGUUUUCAGGGAUAUCCAAGACAGGCAAUUAAUAAUAUUUCUCAAUCAUAACCAAUAAGUCGAGUAAAGAUGCAUGCAGUUAAAAUAACCUCUGACAUCCUCAAAAUCGUACCAUAAUAAAUCAUGAGCGACGGAAGGCUCAGAUCGAGCAAUCGUGAUGUGAAACAGUUCUCAAUAUGGACUAUGUCUCUAAAAACAUAUUACGAGAUUAAGACAACUAAAUUAUAAAACGUGUGAUGUCCAUGUGAAUUUGUGCUACUCCCUCCCAUGCAUGCCUUUUUUAAGUACUUGAAAACCAAAUGAAACAUGAGGGUGAGUACAGAAAUACUCAGACAUUAAAAUAUGAACUUGCAAGAGCAUUGAUUAUUAGUCACCAUCACAUUUUCCCUGUAGAACAACAAAUUCACUGAAAAAAGAAUGAACACGCAUACAAUGAACAAUUGGAAUGAGAAGUCUGGAAUUAACCACAUGUAAAGGGGACAAAUCAAGUGUUCAGGCUACCUAGGGUUCAGCUGCUCAAGCGGAUGAAACUAGUAUUGAGUGAGCUAGCAAGGUAUUUAACAGAACAAGGUAACUAUUCUCCAGCAUCAAGGUAAUUGACCAAACACUAGCUUCUGCUUCUUUAUGUACACCAAUUCAGACUCCCUAAUAUAGCAGCUAUAAAACAGAAUAAAACGCCUAAAACAAAUCUACAAACAAGUAGCCCCAAUCGAUAGCUACCUUGCACCUGAACAAAAUAAGUGUACAGGAUCCCAUCCACCUGCAUAGCAUAGCCUGCCCAUAUGCAACUAGUCCAAAAACCAACUCCCUGGCACAUUCAGAUAUUUGUUGCGUCUGCUGCAGAGCACCUACUGCUAGCCAAUUUGAUAGCAACAACUACUAUUUAUGUAGCUUAGCUACUUGAUAAUGAUGAUAUUUUAGCCAAACAUACACAUACCUGAGUGACCAAGUCAUUAAAUUAUUGACUUCCACUAUUUUUCGUUGGUCGGAGCAUUGUUAUUAGCAUCCACUAAUGUUCCCUCGAUGUCUGUUCUAACCCAAUGUUGGUCAUUUGUUUUCUUUUUGAACAUCUCCCCAAGGUGGGAAACAUGGAAUGGCUCGGAUUCUAUGUCCGCUGCCGAUUCAAGGUCACCAGUGUCAUAUGAAUCUCUAGGUUUGGGUGGUUUCACUACCACAGACCAACCUGGGUUCAUUUCAUCUUCCACAUAGAACACUUGAUCUGCCUGGUUAGGGAAAAUAAAAGGCUCAUGCUCAAUCUUUUCUCCUUUGUGUAUCAGAUGUGAGAAGUUCACAAGUGUGUAGCCGUACUUGUCUUUUUUCAUUCCUUCUUUAGAAAAUACAUCAACCCAUUCACAUUCAAACAGCACCACUGAAAAUUGUCCGAAGUAGUUCAGCUCGAUGAUGUCAAUUACCCUCCCAUAGUACGUCACAUCAUGUAGAACUGGAGUUGCAUCUCCUACUGCAGCAUAACUAGAUGUUUUUGCAGUUAGCAUGACUCCACUGUUCUGUGUCACUUUAUCCAAGCGCUUGGGCCUAGAACGGAAGCCUCGAUAGAUGAAACCACGAUAUCUUUUUGCUGCAUAAACUGGCCCUGAGCUAGCCAUGUAAUAUCAUUUUCAACACCAUCGAUGCCUUUUUUCUUCUCCAAACUCUUUAUCUGAUGAAGUAGAUUGAUUAAUUAAUUAUAUAGUGGCAGAUGUAAAGCAUGCAAAAUUUCCCAAACCUUUCGGCCCGUACUCCAAAGUUCCGCAAGUUCACCUUUCAGUAGCUCCAAAUACACAUUCAGAUCAGCUCCCGGUUGCUUAGGGCCUUGUAUGAGCAUGGAUAGGUGGAUGUACAAAGCUUGUAUAUGAACAAGAUCACCGGCCAUGUGUUGUGUUUGCUGCUCAUGUUUCCGAACGGAUUGAUUCCGUCCGUACUCAUCCCGAACCUGAUGUUCCUGGGCUCUGCACCGAAGUCUGGAAACUCCUCGUCCAGGGUCCUCCAUUGAGCUGCAUCGGCGAGGUGUCUAAGUACACCAUCGUCGUUACGGUACACCCCACCAGGAUAUCAAUAUCCUUCUGAGUCGGGUCGUAGAAGAUGAACCACCUAGCCUCCUUCUUGUUUUGAAACCAACGCUCCAGCCGGCUACCACACGGGAGGUACCUAACCGUCUUCGCCGAUGGACCACAAGUCACUUCUUCCUCUGGGAGGCCCUCAGGAUUGGGGUCAUUCUUCCUGUAUCGGGAUGUUUUGCAUACUGGACAGCUGUGGAUGUCUUUGUAGUCAUCCUUGUAUAUGAUGCAGUCCAACGGACAAGCAUGGUAUCUGACAACCUCUAACCCGAGGGGACAUGCAAACUUCUUCGCUUCGUACGUGCUCUUAGGCAACAUGUUGCCCGCACGAAGAAAGGUAGAAUGGUAACUCAAAAUAUCCGUGAAUCCCGAGUCCACGAUGUUAUAUUUUGCCUUCAUUCGGAGAAAUUCGAGUGUUACUUCCAGCACACUUUUGUCCAGCCCUGCAUUUUCAUGCAAUGGCAUCUCUGCGUCCUCCCUCAGCUUCUAGAAUUUACGGGACACUAUCUCAUCGUCUGUGUCAUCUAACUGUUUCCGCAGGUGCACAUCAUCUAGCAUUUCGGCCACCCUGCCUUGCGGAACUUCUUGAUCUUUGCCACGGCAUGGUUCGUCGGGUGGAUCAUCAUGCUCCAUGUUCUUCAUUUCUGGGUCGCUUUCAACUUCAAUGGCAUCCUCGCCGUGACAACUCUAACGUGAAUAACCCAACACAAAACCGUGUAGGAGCAAGUGCAACUCCACAUCGCUUAGCAGAAGCAUCAUUGUGUUACGACAAUUGCUACAUGGACAACAUAUCAUGUCGUCCCCUUUUCUCAGCAUAUGUUCCGUGGCGACAUCAGUGAAGUUCUUCAAUUUUCUUAUCCAAUCUUCACAAUUUCUUGUCUCCUCUUGCAUCCAAGCAGGGCUCAUCGAGCUAAAACACGAUAAACAAACAUAAAUCAAGUUACAUAUAGUAUCACAUAAAAUUUCCGCAUAACCUUUGCUAUAAAAUUUACAAAUUUUACAAAAAAGUUGCGAAAUAAACACCCACCCACACCCACAUGUGAACACACACGGCACGAUGGCCCGUAUACAUGUACAAACAAAAAUUUACAAACACGGCACGAUGGCUGCGGAACAUGCACAUCCAACACAUAUUUUAUUGAGAGAGAGCUUAAUUAAUCACAGAGAGAGAGGGGGGCAGAGAGAGAGAGGGGACCAUAGAGACAGAGGGGAGGGGGCGCGCAGCAACCAGCAGUAGAAAGAGAGGGAGAAACGGAGCUAGGGGAAGAGUGGGGGAGCUCCCGAGCAAGGGGGCCGGCUGGGACAGCUCCUGGAGAGAGAUCGAGCUCCUCCCGACCGCAGGCGCCAUUUCAGGCAGAUCGAGGAAGAAGAGAAGAGAGGAAGGAGCUAGAGGAAAGGAGAGGGAGAGGAGGAAGAAGGAGAGGGAAAGGGAGCAACCUUCCGGCCGCCGGCGCCACGGAAUUUUGGCAGAGCUCCGCCGUCGCCUGUGUUGAGGAGCCGCAGCUGGUCCAGAGACACGCAAGCUGAGGAAGAUAAGGCCACAGUAACUUUGCUUUUAUAGAUAAUUUACUAGUGGCGGUUCAAAGAAUCUCUCCGCCACUGGUAACCGGGAUGGGAAACUCUGAGGAGCCCUAGUGGCGGUUAACUGAUGCGACCACUGGUACUAGGAGCACUAGUGGCGGUGACAGUCGUUUGAGUGCUCGCACCGCCACUAGUGUUCCAGUAUCAAUGGCGGUGGAAGCUAACCGCCACUGGUAUUCGUUUCAGAUUCUUCCAAUGACUUACCAGUGGCGGCUUGUUUUUUGGACCACUGUAGAUCGUGCGCCGGUGACCACUAAAAAGCUCCAGUGGCGGUGAACGACCACGGCCAAGGGUGCUAGAGCACCGGUGGCGGUGCUGGUCGUGCGAGUGCUUUCACCGCCACCGGUGCUCUACUAGCAGUGGCGGUAGUUGCUCACCGCAACUUGUGUUCGUUUUGGAUUCCUCCAACGACGUCCAGUGGCGGUGAAUUUUUUGGACCAACGGAACCACCACUGGAGUUCGUGCGCCAAUAACCCAUUCUGACGUAGUGUGGAGACGGUAGCACGGGCUUUCUACAGCCAGUUUGGAUGAUGCGCCGAGCGUAGGCCUUAGUAAUAUUAUGGCUGUGUGCAUCGAUUGAUGCAGAGGCCAGGGUAUUUCCUCCUUUUCGAAAAAAAAAUGAUGUGGGUUCGGUUAGCUGAUUAAGGAAAGCUGUUCUUUAAACAUAGAUGCGUUACACAUAUUCAGUUUCGUGAUGAUCAGCUUGUCGUUGUUAAAAACUGACGUGCUGAGACUAAUUCAUAAGUUACCGGAGAAUAACCGCAAUUUGGUGUCAUGCUUCAGCGGAUUGAUACGUAAGGUACUCUCCCCAUUUCAAAUUGUAAGUUACUCUAACCGCAAUUUGUUCUUUUUUUAGAUGCAUUUUUUCUUUUUUUUGAAACAUCUGGCUUUAUUGAUUAAAAAAAAGAGUACAAAGUAUCGACUAAACUGAAAUAAAAAAUACAACGAAGAUCCCUAAACUAUAAGUUACAUCAAAUCCAGCAUCAUGGGCCAAUCUGCAAGGCCGAUUUUUGGCACGCGUCCUCUGCCCCUCUCUCCUCUUGGGCCUUGACCCACUCAUUUCAGGCCUAGCUUUCCUCCGCCUGCCGCAGCCUUGGGCCGAAGCCCUUCGACAUGCUUCCCUAGCCCAUCUUGCGUCUUGCUUUCCUACCAAGUCAGCUAAUUUACGCUGUCCCGACGAGCCUCAGGCACGCUACCCACAACUCUACGUUGGACAACCGUCCUGACGAGUCAUGAGAAUUUUCUAUGUGCGUGCUAGAACCUCGUACGUGAGCAUUCUCCCCGUUGCUCACUGCUCUCGGCUGUUGGUUCUACAGAUUUAUCUGAUUUGCGGAACAAUACGCUUUAUGCGCGCACAACAAUAGUUGCUUCGCGCUAGGUUGAAAGCACGAAGCCUGGAAAUGCAGAUCUUAGUGUCCAUUCCGUGGAAACUAAUGACAUAUCUAACGCGUAUGAAUUUCUGGCACCUUCCAUUCCCACACGAGAAAAUGUCUACCAACUUGAGCCAUGUAACUGCAUAUGUCAAAUCUAUCUACACCGCUUGUGUGGUUUUCUACGGAUGGCCAAGGUACAUAAUCAGUGACGGACCCAAGAUAAAUUUGAAGGUGUGGUGGAAUUGACAAAAAAAAAUCAUGUCUAAUACAACUAUGCAAAAGCUCAGGAAUAGUAGACAUAUAUUAUUUUGUGUCCGACAAGUAUAAUAAAAUUCAAAAGUAAGAUCCUGGAGCUCAAAAUACCUCCAAAGGUGAAGCUAACAUGGAUGGCCGAUCACCAAUUUGUGAUCUAUAUUUUUUUGCAAGUAAUUUAUUGUCUAUAUUUAUUAAAAGAACAAAUGAAUGAUCGGUAAUGAUAUGCAAAACAUUGAAACCAAUAAAAAAAUAGAUUAAUUAGUAAUUAACUAGUUGUGUCAUACUCCUAUGAAUGAUAGAAUAAUUGAUGCUCAAUUUCGAUAAGCCUGCGAUCACGUGGGAGAAAUCUGCAUCAUAUAUGUUCGUAAGACUAACAACUUUGUCCAAAUCAAACUCAAAUGAGUCUAUGGGGUCAAGACAAGCACAUGUGUGGGAAAGUUCACUGCAUGAUCUGAAGGAAAUCCCAAUGCUCCAAACAUGGCCGAGACGAGGACUUGAGAAAGCUCACUGCUUUAUUGGAGCAACUGGAGGUCAUCAGCCUGAGCCUGAGCGAAGGCCGCUGCAAUCUCCAUCCUUGUCGCCGGUCGACUGAGCCUGACCGCCUCCGCAGAGACCGUCGGCGUGGCCGCCCGCGUGCUGCUGCUGUGCCGCCCUGACCCCUGACGCAGUGGCCAGAGCGCUCUCUAUCUUCCGUGCAGUGGAAGAAGGGAGAUUGGACGGGAGUCCAACAGACGGGAAUUGGGAACGCCCUGGCGGCGUGGCUGAUCGAUCAGUUUUCACGAGAAGAGGAGUUACGCACUUACGCGAGGCAGGGACGAGUCAGGGCUGAGGCCUGUAUAGCUAAUACAUGUAUUGGGCUUCUGGGCCAUAAAUUAGAUAUGGCGACGGCCGCACCAUGUCAUUUUAUAGGGGUUGCAACCAUGGUUAAAUAAUUUUUUUUCUAGAAUAUACCUCGACGGGUAUAUCAUGCAUUAAAGAAGAAGACCGCGACGCGGCAAGUUCAAGAUAAAUUUACAAUUACUCACGCAAGAUCCAUAUCACGUCCACUACACCAAAAUCGGAAAAGAGAAGGGAACCAUCAAACAGUCCCGCGCGUCGCCAUGCAUCCCCCUCCCGACCAAUCUCCCUAAUAAUGUGAGUAGCACUUGGCGUCACCCUAUCAAAGACCACCGCGUUCCUGUGCUUCCAAAUACACCAGCAAACAAGCCUAACGGCGGUAUGCAGGUUCCUCCGAUCCUUCCUAGCCACGACCUCCAGACCCGGCCACCAAGUCUCGAGCACACCAGGAACCCAAUCCUGCUUCUGCCAACGCCCAAGGAAAGCGAGCCACACCUGCCGGGCGACCACACCCCAAGAGUAAGUGAUUGAUGCUCUCCUCAUCCUGGUCACACAAAGAGCAGCGAGGAGGGUGAGGCAUCCCGCAUCGACGAACGCGGUCCGCCUUCCAACAACGCUCCUUCAGUACAAGCCAAAGAAAGAAUUUGCAUCUACUCGGAGCCCUAGAGCCCCACACCUCAGCAGCUCCUGGCAUGCAUGUACACCCUCCAAAAAGGGCCGCAUACGACGAUGCCGUUCAAUACGAGCCACUCCCUUCCCACAAUGAAGCACAUCCUCCUCGUCUGAUAGGACCCAACCUUCAAUGACGUCCCAAAUGAGCAAGAACUCGUCGAUGGCCAAGGAAGACAGAUCCGACUUGAUCCCCUUGACCCAAGCCCGGUCAACCAAGGCCUCCGCAACAAAGAUUUUCUGGCCCUGUCCAGCGACCCUCAUGAAAAGAUUUGGCGCUAGGUCACAUAGAGCCACACCAUCAAGCCACGCAUCUGUCCAGAAUCUCAUAGGCCGGCAGUUCCCUACAACAAUGGAGGUAGCCGCCUUACACAACUCGCGGGAGGCAGGGGAAUCUGAAUAUCAAACUCUGCCCACGGCCUUGAUGGAUCCGUUUGUCGAAGCCAGCUCCAUCUAGCCUGCAAAGCCACAUUGAGCACCCUGAGGUUCGGGAUACCCAAGCCCCCGAGCUCCCUUGGCGAGCAGACCGCUUGCCACGAGACAAGACAAUGACCACCGUGGACCUCCUUUCUCCCCUUCCACAAAAAUCCUUGGCAAAGUUUCUCAAUAGCUGAAACAGUCUUCACCGGGAGAUCAAGCGACAUCAUCGCAUAGAUCGGCAUGGCACAAAGUGUGUAUCGAACAAGCGUUAGCCGCCCACCCGAGGAGAACAUGGGUGCAGACCACAUUUGGAGCCCUUUCUCAAUCUUCUCCACGAUCGGCGCAAGCUGCCCAGCCGAAGGUUUCUGCAAGCCAAGCGGCAAACCUAGGUAGGUGCAUGGAAAGCGACUAACCACACAACCAAGAACGCGGUGGACUAGCCCAAUCUGCUCCGCUGUGCAUCGGAUAGGGUGAGCCGAAGUCUUGACGAAAUUAAACCUCAACCCUAAAGCCAUCGCGAAAUCCUCCAACAAGGCCAUACAAGCCCACAACUCCCCUUCGGCCGGUUGCAAGACCACCACGGCGUCAUCCGUGAAGAAGGAUGACUUUUGCGAUAGGCCACGCGAGGCCAAACGACCAAACAACCCAACCUCUCCGCCUUCUGAAGGAGCAAGUUGAGAACAUCCAUAGCAAGGAUAAAAAGCAUGGGGGAUAGCGGGUCGCCCUGCCUAAGUCCACGUUGGUUCGAGAUAGUCUCCCCCGGGAUGCCAUUAACAAGAAUCCGCGUGGAGGCGGAACCCAACAGCGCUCCAAUCCAUCCCAACCACUUAUCACCAAAACCAAGCCACCGCGGCGAGUCGAAGAGGAACGACCAGUGCAGAGAGUCAAAGGCCUUGGCAAUAUCCAACUUGAGUAAGACUGCCGGUCGUCUCAGACUGAACAACCUCCUUGCCGUGCCCUGAACGAGCAUGAAAUUAUCGUGAAGACAACGGCCCCUGAUGAAGGCCCCCUGGUGCAGGCGCACUAACCUUGGCAACUCCGGGCCCAAACGGUUAGCCAAAGCCUUCGAGAACAACCGGCCCACCGCGUGAAUCAAGCUUAUGGGCCUAAAAUCCCCAAUAGAAGCCGCUCCCUGCCUUUUUGGCAGAAGGCAAAUGUACGCCUGAUUCACGGCCUCCAAACCACGACAAUCCAACCGAGGAAACACAUGGAAGCAAUCCACGAUGUCAUGUUUGAUGACAUUCCAGCAAGAUGUGAAAAAACGUCCCGUGAAGCCGUCAGGGCCGGGACAUUUAUCAGGCGGCAACUCCCGGAUCACAGACCAAAUCUCUUCCUUAGAGAAAUCCGCCUCCAGGCCCAAAGGGCCAGGCCUCUCACCACCCAGGAAGUUCAGGUUAAGACCAUAAUUCCUAUCCACCCCUGAACCCAGCAACUCCGUAAAGAACAAAUCGGCCACGCCGGCCAUCUCAUCAUGCCCAGACGUCCGCACACCAUCCACCUCUCAAAUGAAAAAAAUCUAGUGUUGGCAUCACCCUCCUUCAACCACAACAAGCGAGAUCUCUGCCGAGCGAUCGUCCUCUCAAACGAGGAAAGCCCCAACAGCUUGUGCUUCAACAUCGAGCGUAAACGACGCUCCUCGGCCGAAAGUCGACGCCCCUCCUUGGCACAUCCAAGCGAAGAAUCACCUCCGUGGCGACCAGAAUCUUCAGCUUUACGCUACCAAUGAACUUGUCGCUCCAGCUCUUGAGGUGUCGAGCGGUAUAGUGCAAACGAGCCACCACCCGCAGGAAGGGGUUGACAACCCAGUUUGAAGUCCCCAAACCACGCCGCCUCAACCACCUGAAAGAACCCCAGCGCAAUCGGCCAGAAAGCCUCAAAGUGAAAACGCCUACCAAUCCGAAGAUCAGCCGCCAAAUCCAACAAAAGAGGGCAGUGAUCAGAAACCGUGGUCCAUAGUGGAGAAGACACGGUCAAUCCUCUCAAGCGUAGGGUCGGAUCUCUCAUUGGACCAAGUGAAACGCCGACCCGCAAGGUAUAACUCCUUCAACUCCAAAUCCGCAAGCAAUCUCCGAAACCGGCACAUCAUACGACGGUGCACCCGGGAAUUGCUUUUAUCCUCCGAAUUAACGAUAAGGUUAAAAUCGCCGGCCACCACCCACGGUCCAGCAUGCAAGUCACGAACGUCUCUCCACUCCAGGAGGAAGUUCGGUUUAUCCACCUCUCUAUGCGGCCCAUAUACACCCGUCAACCACCAGCAACCGUCGGGAGAGUUAAUCUGAGCAGUCAGGGUAUGGUCAGUGUAUUGGGGAUUGGACAGCACCACAUCACUCGCCUUCCACACGAGGAUAAUUCGCCCAUGAGUACCCACUGCCGGCAAGAAAAAGAAAUUAUUAGCGAAGGCCUGCCCAAACAUUGAGCGACUAGAUCGGCCGUGACCACCUGAAAUUUAGAUUCCUGCAAACAAACCACAGAGGCCCCCGAAUUGACCACGACUUGAAAAACAGCAGUACGCUUGGCCAAAGAGUUAAGCCCACACGUAUUCCACACCAGGAUUUUUGGGUUAGACGAGGACAUAAGCACAAUCCACACAAGACCAUCCACCAAAAAAACCAUCAAUACAUGGCCUAGGUGACCACCGUCAUCGCCGUCUCCUCAGCCAAAAUGUCAGGCGAGAUCUCAGGCUCCCACCCUAACAAAGACAAAAUGGCCCCAAUAUGCUCCAAAGACAAGGGACGAUCAAAAAGCUUUAUGUAAGCCGACGACGAAUCCUCGGUGAUCUACUCCCCCUCAAGAGCAAGUCCCAGCCUGGAGAUAAGCACCUUCUGCUGCCUCUUGACGGAGGAACCUCUAGCGCGCCGUGAUGCCACCCGAAUGCUCCGACGCAGGGGCGAGCCGGACACGCCUUGGCCUCCGGUAGCUAGUGCCGCCGAGACGCCGGGGAGCGAGGCUGCGGAAGAGGAAGGAGAGCCACGCUUGGCUGCCGACAAACACGACGAAAAUCCACCAGCCUAGUCUCCACAUCAACCGAGUUCCGCUCCACCAAAGUAGCCAGGGUUGACAUCGGCGUGUAAGGCUCCGCCCACGCCAAGAGAGCAUAAGCCAGCGUAGGCACACUCACACAGAAGGUGUCCAUCAUUGGCUGAGCAAUAGCCGGCUCAUCCACACCCAAGGAGGGAAACAAGAGAGGGGAGCCCACAUCCACCGAAGAGCAGACCGAAAAAGCCUUCUCCGAGAGCAACGAGAUGCCUUCAGCAACAUCCAGGACAGGAAGUGGAAUCACCUGCCGCACGGCCACGUUCCUCAAUGAGUAGGUGAACAGCGGUCUGAUGCCAGCCUCAAGCCUCAUGGGAUCAAACCAACUGUCAGAGACCUCCACCUGGGGCAGGGAGGAGCAAACAACAGCCUCAUCCACUGCAGCGCGCAAGGCCGAGGGCCAAGGUGCCACCUGGACGACCGGAGGCAGCCCCGCACAGCGCCAGAAUCCGGCCUGCCCACCGCGCGCUGUGCCGUCACCCCCAAACUCCCCAUCCACCACACAACGCUGACAUGCAAAGGAGCGGGUACGCAGCUGCCGAGGAGAUGGACCACCACCCGGAUCCUUGUCAGGGUCAUUGCUGUGAAGGGGAACGUAGGCAGAAAUUUAAAAUUUCCUACGAACGAACCAACCAAGAUCACUAUGCGGAUGCGAUAGAUAGAUCACGUACCAACAACUGUAGCGGAAGUAGAUUGUCGUUGAAGCCUGUAGCAGAUUCCCGCAGCUAGGUUAUACCUCCCAGCAGCGAGAAUAUUCCUCGCACGAUCUGCUGCGCCUGAAAGCUCGAAGUAGACGAACAACGAUCCGCCCGCAAGAUCAAAGUGGACGAUCUCUCCACACGUAUCCACACGUCCCGAAGGAAUAGUUCAGGAGCACUUCGACGUCCAGUACGAAGAACCGCCGGAAGAAACUAGAUCGGAAAGUAGACGAUCUACUAAUUAGACGUCUAAAUCUAAACUGUAGAGGAGAUAGCUCGGACUUGUCGGGCAAAGGACAACUAGCGAGAGUGCUCCUAUAGCCAGCCACCCCUCCCCUCCUUAUAUAGGAGGGUGGCCGGCCAAAGGGGGAAAGGUGUCCUCCUCCAAAAGGAGUAGGACUCCUACCUCUAAUAGGAAUAGAUAUGGACUCCUAAUAGGAGUCUUAUAUCCCCUUCUCCAAACCAAGAUGGCCGGCCCCCAUGGUCAACCUUUGACCACGUGGUCAACCUUUGACCAGGGUUUGACCCACCUUUGACUUUUGACCUUUUGCCAUUUGACCUUCCGGAAUUUCCAUCGGAUCCUUCCAGAGGCUUCUAAAACCUUCCGGAACUACUCGUGAUUACUCCGAACAUUUCUGUAACUCCUAAAUCACAUUUAGGACCUACAGAAAAUAUGUCUCGUCAUUCUGAACAACUUCGGUAUUCAACUCUCGACCAAAUUCCAAACUCUAGACCUUCAAAUAACCAUUCGUCGUUUAGCGUGCGACCGCGUAGGUUCGGAAAUGUGUAGCUAUGACCCAGUCAAUAAUUAUUUAGAGAGCCUGGACACUCUCAAUAAUUACUACACAUCCACGAAGACUUUCGAGCGAACCAUAUGUUACUAAAAACCAUUUCCCUUUGCUUCGCGAUACGUUUACAAAACCCUGGGUGAGUCUUCCGGUACGCCCGUGAACCAACCCUUGUUCCACUUGUACCUAGCUAUCCCCGUUACCGGUUUUGUACUUUUAACUCGUUCCGUACUCCAAUAUCUCAAUGAUCAUAUCAUUCUUGUGUCUGGCCAGACGGUGAUAGAUAUCGUCGUACCGAGUGGGCCCUAAGUGUAUCUCUCCACCGAUAGAGGAGCAAAUCCCAAUCUUGAACUAUUGAGCGAAUUCAUACUUUCCGGAGUACCCAGAAAUCACCGUCAUGAUAACCCUAUAGUCGGAGCACGGUCUCCCGGCACCGGGGAUGCUGAGCACCCCCUUUUUGGUUCGGUGGAAGGCGAGGUGAUCGCUCCGGCGAUCGCCGGCAUGGCGAUAGACACGAAGUGUAGACACAAGAGUUUACCCAGGUUCGGGCCACCCGGAGGUGUAAUACCCUACGUCUUUCUUUGAGUUCUAUUCACAAGUUUGAGUGCGUACAGGUCACCCUGGGAGUUCUUGGGCUAGCUACUUAGGUGAACGCUGUGCUAUGUUCUAAUCACUUGGAUUGGAACCGAGCUGAACUCAACCCUUUGACCGGUGGCAUUGGUCCUCCUUUUAUAAACAAGGGGAUACCACAGAUGCCUAUGCAUGCAGGGUGACAUGUUUCCUAGAAGCGUGUCACGGCCGCAUGGAAUACAUUUUUACUCAUCCAUGCUGGACGCCAUGCAGCGCCCAGUCCACUGUACACGGUAGAAAAGAAAUGGUUCGUAGGGUAGUCGCCCUAGCCUUGCUGAGCAAGACUAGGCCUGCCGAUAAGACUCAUGUCGGUGCAUUAAAUGCACUGCGCCCGCCGUCUUGUCCUGUCUUCACUGUUCUGCGGGUCCCGCCUGCAUGCCCGAGCGCGGGUUGCUGGCGUGCACCGUCCCGGCUAGCGCAUCUGCUAGUUGCUGGGAGGCAUUCCUUCGGCUUCUCGGGACCAGGGUUCCCGGGAGCACCUUGUACCCAGCCCUCGGCUUUAACUUUGCCAAAGGCCGUCCCCUCGAGGCAGGCUUCCCGUAUUCACCGCUUCCCGAGUAGCCUUCCUGACGGGGCUUCGUCACUGGCGACCCACGCGGCCCGUAUCAGUGGGACCCCGCAGGCCACUGGUACGACAGUAGCCCCCGGGCGUGCGCCGGUAGCCUUGAAGCUCCCUGCAAGUGCUAUCCUCGGUCAGUUGCCGGGCUACGCCCUAUCCGACGCGUGGGUCCGAAAGGGAAAAACCCUUGGCACCCGGCCUCGCAUGCCACAUUUAUAGUUCCACUUCUGCGAGCGAAACGGUCGGGCGCACGAUUUCGUGCCUUAUCUCCCUUAAUCACCAGAGAGUUAAGGCCACGUCGCGCACCCCCCCUCUUAAUCUCUGAUUCUUUAGGGCUCUUUAUUGCCAAUCGUGGGGGUGUCCGUUGCAGUCCGCCAGCCCCCGAUAAAUACCCAAGGCCGGCGGCGGGGCACCCCCCAUUGUCUCUCGCUCCUGCCAUCACCUCCUCCCAAGCUCCCCGCUUCCCAACUCCAACCGAACCAUCUCUCCACCUCCGCCGAUGUCUGCCAAGGGUCAGAACCGUCCCAAGGGGAGCACCAGCAAAGGGGAUAAGGCCGGCAAGAAGGAGCUGUCGGAUAGGGUCCGGAAGGAGGAGGAAAUGCGGGCUAAAUUCGCCUUCUUCCCCCCCGGGUACAAUGGCGAGGGGGUCGACAAGCUGGACUUGGCGCUGGCCACCAAGCACAAUGAGCACGGGCCGACGCGGGUCCUUCCCAUCGGUGAGGAGCACGACGGGCAGUACUUCCAGAUCUUCGGGAGGUUCGUCCUUGCCGGAUUCGUGCCGCCGCACUCUUACUUCCUUUCGGCCAUCAUGGAGACCUACGGGCUCAUCAUGGCGCAGCUUCACCCCGCGUGGUUCUUCACAUUGGCUUGUUUCCAACACCUCUGUGAAGCGUUCGUGGGGGUGAUGCUGUCGGUGGCGCUAUUCCGCCACUACUACUACCCGAGGGUGGAGAAGAAGGCUCCCCUGUCCUCGGGGGUAGUGUUCUGAUUCCGCGACAGGAUCAAAUCGGAAUUCAACGAGCCGGGGAAGAAAAAGAUCGAGCACGAAUGGCGCCGUGACUGGUGCUGGGUGUGCACUGACGAGCUCCAGGGGUUCCAUGAGGAGCCCCUCGGGCCUCCGAAGGGCUCUGACGACUGGACACUCCGUGACCAGAAGUACGAGGAGCUGGCCCCAAUCUGUGGGAAGAUCAAGGCGCUCCGUGAGGCUGGGCUCACGGAUAGGGAUGUCGCGCGCCACUUCAUCGGGAGGCUCAUGGCUCCCCUGCAGCGGCGCUCGCAUCCGGCGUGGAUGUACACUGGGGCCGACGACCGGACCUGGCUGCAGCGCACGGACCUCUUCCCGGAGGAAGUGCAGUUCUGGGUGAAGGGUAUCACUGGCGAGGACGAACCUUACCGGCUGCCCCCGCUUCACGCCGGGAUCCUGAACCCGGGAGCCCGUGAUCUCCCACUCUGCGACGAGUGGGGGAUCGUGGAGGACCCCUCGAUGCAACCCUCCCCCCCGCAGCCCAGGCCCCAGAAGCGCAAGGAGCCGGUUGCGGACUUAGGGAAAGGGGGCCAAGGCCAGGCCUCCGCCCGGGCAGACGGCUCGGACUCCGACGACUCCUCGUUGGGUGUCGGAGGAAACCUCAGCAAAGACGACGGCGACGACGACAUUCCCCCGGCAGCCGAAAAAGUCGUGCCAGAGGAGGACGACGAGGAAGAUGACGUCCCCCUGGUGAGGCGGUCCGCGGCGAUAUGGGCGGGCAGGCGGGAGGCUAGCCCGCAGCUCCCGGAGCCUCACGGCGACGCGGGGGCUGGUGCCUCCGGCGGCAGGGGCGCGGCUGUAGCAGGCGCCCCGCCCACCCGGGGACUCCGACAGCUCCCCCGCGCAAAGCGGCCCUCCGACGAGGAGCAUCCUGGCGGACAGGGUGCUCAAGCUCAUGCCGGCGGGGUAAGUCCAAUGUUGUCCAGAACAGCUUUGAUUCCACGAAAUUAUUUUGUGCCUGACUAAUCUAUUUUUGUGUUUUCCAGUUCGUCGAGGAAGAGGGGGCAGACCAGCGCAUCGCUGGUAGCCCCAACCAAGAAGCCUCGCCCGGCAUCGGGCGGCGGCAACCAAGACGCUGCUGAUGCAGCGGCAGCGACCGCUGGGGACCCAAGGAUCCCCGAUUCUAGCUCGCAGGGUACCGGCCCGGCGGCAGGCACGUGACAGUUCGAACACUUCCUUUACUUAUUCGCGCACCCCACGCCUGACGCAGGUGGCGUUCGUGCAGCCACCGGAGGUGUUCCGGCUGCGCCCGCACCUACAGAGGUGCGGGUGAUCGACCUCACUGGCGAGGUCGACGACGAAGCUCCGGCGGAGGUUGCCUCCGUCGGAGCUCUUCAGCAAUCGGUCACGGCGCCUGCCGGGGCCGUGACUGCUGCCACAGAUGACACCACGCAAGGUGCGCCAUCUGAGGCGGGAGACACGGAGCAGCCUUCGCUAGCCGGGGCGGGCGGCGGUGCCCUGGAGAAGCCCUCGAGGUCCCAGCUCGCCCCUUCGGACGAGCAAGAAGCAGCUGGGCUCGGCCAGGCCGGGGGCACGCCAUCAAAUCCCGACACGCCCUCAGGUCGCAGACGGUCGCGGCGGGGUCCUCCUCCUCCGCAGGAGCCACCUUACAAUACAUACAAGCAAUCAAAUAAAAAUCAAACGUAUAGCAAAUGUAUAGCAAAAUAACAAUAACAUGUAUAGCAAACGUAUAGCAAAAUAACAAUCAAACGUAUAGCAAAUCUUUUGGCACAGUUUAUCUACAGUACUCCGAACAAUCUAACAAUCAAACGUAUAGCAAAAUAAACAACCAUACAAUACAUACAAGCAAUCAAAUAAAAAUAUGCCAUGAUGCCAUGCACAUGAUGCAAUCCUAAAGUUGGUUUCUGUCACAAAUAAUUUAUUUAGUGAUUUAAAUCUAUGUGAUGAAUUGUUAGGAUCAUGUUCAUGGUGUGGAGAAAUAAAUCAUUAAAUAAAGCAAGUUUAAUCCAUUUUAAGUUAGAUUAUUCUAAAUCUGGUGAUACAUUCAUUUUUAUACAUAAAUUUUUUUUCUUCCAGUUCCACCGGGUAGAGGGUGCCUCUAAGAAAUUUUAGGAGUGGAUAAAUCAUCCAAAAUAAUUUUAAGCAAAUAUUUUAGUGAAUACGUUCAUAGUUAAGCAUUAUGUCACUUGGUCCUGUUUCAGUUGUCCAGAACUGAAAACAAACUGUGCCAAAAGAUUCUACAUGCCAUGAGGUUUCCAAAAAGGUGUAGUUCGUCAAAUUUGGCUCAACGGUCAAAAGUUAUGAGUGUUUGAAGUUCCAGAGGUUUUUCUGCAAUUUUACCAUUUAAUUCAUCUGGAAACCAUUUUAACUUUUUAUUACAUGACACGUGUCGUCCUCUGAUUCGCCUGUACCGGUUCGGGGUCUAAUUAAAAGAUGGCCGUCCGAUCUCACUUAAAACAAGAUGGACGGCUGUGAUCAAAAGAUACCCUUCGUUUAAAUCAAUCUAAUCUGAUCCUACGGUCCAGGGCGACCAUGCUCACCUUCGAUGAGCCAAGGGUUCUGGCGGCGAGCUCCGGCUGCGGCGGCCUCACGGGCGGGUGGCGCGCGGGAGCUCCGGUGGUCCUCGGACUCGGGGGAGGUCGGGCGAGGGGCGGCGCGGGGCGGCGAAGUUGGUGACGCGGUCGGGGCGACGAGACGGAGCCGGGAACGACGCCUAGGACGACGACGAGAGGCGGUGGCACCAGGGGAACUCCGGCGGGCUCGAGCGGAGGGCGUCCGGGCGCUACGAGGCACCAAAAACGAAACCGUUCACGUCAAAACGAGCGCAAGCUCGAGGGGAGAAGGAAAUUGACGGGUUCCGGGUCUUUUUCUCACCGGUGUGGCGAACGGCGAGCUCGAGACCGGCGGCGGCGGCAACUCCGGCGAGGAAUUACGGCGGCGUGGCCGCGAGUGGAGGCACGGGGUGCGGGGGAAAAAGGAGAGGGGAGGGCCCUUAAUAUAGUGGCGCGAGGGGGACCUUAAAGACGGGCUCUAAAUCGCGUCUUGAAGGCGAGGCAUAAUGGCGGCGCGCUGUGGAUUCGCGGUCGGAGCUUGAAGACUGACAGGUGGGCCCCACCUGUCAGUGGCAGUUGCGCUCGCAAGCGGCGGCGGUGGGGCUGGCACGGGCGCGAGCGUGGGAGAGCGCGACCGGGCCGGUCCGGUUUCCUUUUUUUUUCUUUUUCUUUUCUCAUUUUCUUUUUCUGUUUUUCCUUUAUAUCUUUUGAUUUUGAACUCCAAACGACCUCAAAUAAAUUCUAGAAAAUUUGUAAAAUCAUAUCCCUUAAUGCCAUAGCAUGUGGGCUUUAUUUCCUGCAAAAAAAAUUAUUAAAAAUAGUUUCUCUUAUAUAAUUGCCUCUGGUGCAAUAUUACUUAAAACAAAACAGUUUUUCAACUCCAAAUUAAAUUCCAAAAAUUAUGGGGCUACAAGGCACCAAAGAGGAAUUACGGCGGCGUGGCCGCGAGUGGAGUGAGGGGGUGCGGGAGAAAAGGGAGAGGGGAGGGCCCUUUAUAUAGUGGCGUGACGGGGAUCUUAAAGACGGGCUCUAAAUCGCAUCUUGAAGGCGAGGCAUAAUGGCGGCGCGCGCUGGAUUCACGGACGGAGCUUGAAGAUGACUAGCAGGUGGGCCCCACCUGUGAGGGGCCGUUGCGCUCGCGGGCGGCGGCGGCGGGGCUGGCGCGUGCGCGAGCGCGGGCGAGCGCGACUGGGCCGGUUCGGCCCAUUUGGCCGUGCCGGUCCGAUUUGCUUUUUUUCUAUUCUUUUUCUUUUCUCCUUUUUUUCUGUUUUUCCUUUAUAUCUUUUGAUUUUGAUUAAAAAUAGUUUUUCAUAUGUAAUUGCCUCUGGUGCAAUAUUACUUAAAACAAAAUAGUUUUUCAACUCCAAAAUAAAUUCCAAAAAUUAUGGGGUAGCUUAUCUUAUUGCAUUAAACCCCUUUCUAUUGUUUUGAACCCCAUGGGUUGAUAAAUUCCAAAGAGAUGCAAGGUAAAAGUUUAAAAGGUAAAAGGUUUAAUAAAAGGUUGUAAAUUUUAAAUCUUUGGUUUUAAGGGUACUCAAAAUGCAUAAUUGGUAGAAUUGGUGAUGAGUGCAAAUGCAUGAUGCCCAGUUUGGGAGAAUUGGGAUGUUACACCGUCCCCUCGAGGCAGGCUUCCCGGAUUCACCGCUUCCUGGGUAGCCUUAAAGAAGAUAUCCGCAGUUUCCUACGACUCGCUGGAUACUACCGGAGGUUCAUUGAGAAUUUCUCCAAGAUUGCAAAACCCAUGACCGAGCUCUUAAAGAAGGACAAGAAAUUCGACUGGACAGAGAAAUGUGAAGAGUGUUUCCAGGAAUUGAAGAAGAGAUUAGUGUCCGCACCCAUUCUUGUUUUACACAAUCUGCAAGAAAAUUUCCAAGUUUAUUGUGACGCUUCACGUCAACGUUUGGGAGGAGUUUUGAUGCAAAGAGGAAGAGUUGUAGCGUACGCUCGCGACAACUAAAGAACCAUGAGGGAACUACCCCACACAUGACUUGGGAUUGGCAUCGGUAGUGCACGCCUUGAAGACCUGGAGACACUACCUGAUGGGGAAACAUUGUGAAUUCUUCACGGACUACAAGAGCCUGAAAUACAUAUUCACUCAGAAGGAGUUGAACCUGAGGCAGAGAAUAUGGUUAGAGUUGACUAAGGAUUAUAAUCUGAUUUUGCAAUAUCAUCCGGGAAAGGCUAACGUAGUAGUCGAUGCUUUGAGCCGCAAGGCCUAUGUAAAUGGACUCACAGCGGGGGAACUACCACCGGAUUUGUGUGAACGGUUCAAGGAGCUUAGAUUAGAAAUUGUACCAGAAGGAUUUCUUGCCAACAUGGAAGUACAACCCACGUUGGUGGACAGAAUCAGAGAACCUCAGAAAGGCGACUCAGAGAUUGAUGAAAUAAAAGAGAACAUGAUUGCCGGAAAGGCAAAAGGUUUUCAUGAGGAUGACCAGGGAAUUAUAGGGUUUGAGAAACGUAUAUGUGUACCCCAAGAUCCGGAGAUCAGAAAGUUGAUUUUUGAAGAAGCUCAUGACUCGCCAUACUCGAUCCAUCCGGGGAACAAAAAGAUGUACAUGGAUUUGAAGGAAAAAUUCUGGUGGUCUGGAUUAAAGCAUGACAUCGCUGAAUAUAUCGCUUCUUGCGAUGUAGGCAACAAAGUUAAAAGCUGAGCACCAGAAGCCAGUUGGACUAUUGCAACCAUUGCCUAUACCAGACUAGAAAUGGGACAAGAUAGGCAUGGACUUCAUCACCGGUUUACCGAGAACCAGGUUACGACUCGAUAUGGGUAGUGGUUGACCGUUUGACCAAAGUUGCCCAUUUCAUACCGGUAAAGACCACUUAUACAAGUGCUCAGUUAGCAAAGCGUUAUAUGUCAAGAAUUGUGUGUUUGCACGGAGUGCCCAAGGAGAUAGUUUCAGACAGAGGUACCCAAUUUACCUCAAGUUUUUGGGGGCAAUUACAUGAGUCUCUGGGCACGAGGCUAGAACUCAGCACGGCGUUUCAUCCGCAGACGGAUGGACGGACUGAAAGAGUAAAUCAGAUCCUUGAGGAUAUGUUGAGUGGAUUAUGGUUCUAGUUGGGACGACAACCAACCUUAUGCAGAAUUCUCAUACAACAACAGUUUCCAAGCCAGCAUUGAAAUGUCACCGUUUGAAGCACUAUACGGCAAGAAAUGCAGAACACCAUUGCUAUGGGAUGGAGUGGGGGACCACAGCUUGUUCGGUCCUGACCUAAUAAAGGAUGCCGAGGAAAAGGUUAGACUAAUUCGGGACAGACUAAAGGUAGCUCAGCCGAGGCAGAAGAGUUAUGCAGAUUCCAAAUGUAGGGAAGUUACCUACGAGGCUGAGGGUAGAGCGUAUCUCAUAGUCUCACCGAUACGUGGAGUUAAGAGAUUUGGAAUAAAAGGGAAACUAGCACCCCGUUUCAUUGGACCUUUCAAGAUCUUGUCCCGCCAAGGAGAAGUAGCCAACAGGUUGGAGUUGCCGGAAGGUUUGGAAAGCGUGCACAACGUAUUCCAUGUUUCGCAACUAAAGAAAUGCCACCCUGAGAUGGCCGACACACCGUUGAGGGGAUACGAUUCCGUUGGAAGAAGUCCAGAUUGAGAGUGACCUCACCUAUGAGGAGAAACUGAUCAGAAUUCUGGAUACAGCAGAGAGACACACCCGUUCCAAGACUAUCAAAUUCUGCAAGGUUCAGUGGGAUCACCACAACGAAGAGGAAGCUACCUGGGAACGUGAUGAAGAUCUCCGAGAAGACCACCCGCACCUCUUUGCUAACCAACCAGAAUCUCGAGGACGAGAUUCAUCUUAAGGGGCUUAGGUCAGUAACAUCUCAAUUUUUACAAACCAUUCAUCAUGCAUUUGCAUUCAUAAGCAUCAUGCCACCUAUGCAUUUUUGGCCAUUUUCAAAACUUUGUUUUGAAUUUUUGAAUCCCUUUCCAAAAGCCUUCCUUAUUUUUAAAUCUGAUUUUCACUUUCCUUUGGCAAACUGGAUUUUUAACCCAAAAGGAUUUUGAUUAUAAAAAGUGGUUUAUUGCAUAAAUGAGCUACCCCAUAAUUUUUGGUAUCUAAAUUGGAGUUGUAAAACUAUUUUAUUUUAAUUGUUAUAAAGCCCUAAAGGCAUUUAUACAAGAAAAAUUAUUUUUAAAUAUUUUUGUUUGGAGUAAAUCUUGAAAAAAAUAAAAAAAUAAAAAGAACAAAAAACAAGAAGAACGGGCCGGCCUGGCCCAACUUACCUCCCCCCACGCACCUGAGCCAGGCCGCAGCCUCGCCCGACCCCGCGCGCGCGCCCGAGGCUCUCAGAUCCUUCUUUCCUGAAGGAAAGCCCCCGCGAAUCUCGCCCGCGCGUCCCGGCCGCUGAUCCCGCGCGCCGUCUCCUCCGUGCUCCCCGAAGCUUUCCAUCCGUGUCAUUAUAAAGGCCGAACUCCCCUCUGCAUGUCCCCUCGAUUCCACGUGCCCACGCUGCCCAAAUUCCUCGCCGGAGUUGGCCACGGCUGCUGCCCGUUUUUAGUCACCGUCGCCGACGAGGUACGACAUCGACCAAUUGAAUGGCAGGUUUUCAAUCUCCGCCUCCACGCGGAUCUUUUGACGUGCUUCUUGCUUUGUUUCGUGCACCGAAGGUGCCGACGCCUUCCACCCGAAGCCCGCCGCUGCCUCCUCUGUUCCGUCGUCCUAGGCUCCAUCUCCGGUGACCCCGAGGUGAACCGCGACCACCGGAAGGACUGUCUCACUGCGCCUCGUCCUCUCCGCCGUUCCCCGAGCCUGAGAACACGCCGGAUCUUCGCGCCGUCGCCUUCCCGAGCCCGCCGCCUCUCGCCGGAACCCUAGCACCGCCGCUGGUAAGCCCGGUUAAACCUCAGCCGUCCGGUCUAUUUUCAACGGCUUAGAUUAAAUCACUUAUAUGAACCGGUACAUUGUUAGGUCUAUUAUAAUUACCAGGUGAACUUGCCAAUACAUUCAAUGUAUUGACCACGUAGUGGCUGCAAUGAAAUAAUGCAGGUGGAUCAGACGACGAGUGAGGUUCGUCAUUUUUUUAGGGUUACGAGCUUACAUUCCAACAUGCUCUCACUGUGGUGUUGAUGUGGCUGUCGUUCUUCCAUUUGCUUUCCGCUGCCAGACUUUAAAGUUAUUUGUUUUAAGCUAACCCGAGGGGUUAUGCAAGUUGUAAGUACUAUGAGUUCUGGAUAUGACAAUGUAAUAAAUUUACUUGACCUUUGUAUCUGGUAUUACAUCAUGAAACUGUGUGUGCUAGUGAGUCGAUCCAGGGACUAGCACUGUAAGCACAGAGAUCGAACCCUACCCAGGGGCGGUCGCUUCAGGAGCAUAAGGUACGAUGUGUCAUGUCAUCGUUUCAGCAUGCAUGGUAUCACCUUUAUGCACCAUCCACUGUGGACUAACAGUUCGUACACAACCCUCUCUACCUUGCACCCAAGAUUUCACCAGCUACCGUGGAACCCAAAGUAUCUGAAAUUGCAACUCCGGACACGACCACCAGCCAGAGUGGAAGGCCCUUGGAGCGUUUGUAGCAAAAUUCCACGUUCUGCCAGAUUAUACGAGUAAUGCAAGGAGCAGGGGAUAAUAUGAUAUUCAGAUAAUUACAGAUCCAAUCUACAAUACCCACACAACACUUGUGCAACGCCCGCAUAUCAUAUAUGCUCUAGAUCAAAUCACAUCUACGCAAAGAUUGCUCUCAUUCCACUGAAGGGAACGUAGGCAAAAUUUUAAAAUUUCCUACGAAUGAACCAACCAAGAUCACUAUGCGGAUACGAUACAUAGAUAACCUACCAACAACCAUAGCGGAAGUAGAUUGUCGUUGAAGCCUAUAGCAGAUUCCCGCAGCUAAGUUAUACCUCCCAGCAGCGAGACUAUUCCUCGCACGAUCUGCUGUGCCUGAAAGUUUGAAGUAGUAGAACAGCGAUCCGCCCGCAAUAUUGAAGUGGAUGAUCUCUCUACACGUAUACACACGUCGCGCAGGAAUAGUUCAUCGGCACUUCGACGUCCAGUACGAAGAACCGCCAGAAGAAACUAGAUCGGAAAGUAGACGAUCUACUAAUUAGACGUCUAAACUUUAGAUGUCUAAACUUUAGAGGAGAGAGCUCGGACUUGACGGGCAAAGAACAAUUAGCGAGAGUGCUCCUAUAGCCGUCCACCCCUUCCCUC
RNAcentral lists this long non-coding RNA (57589 nucleotides) under Brachypodium distachyon (stiff brome). RNAcentral's name for it is "long non-coding RNA (BDIS_LNC002330)". The stretch from base 9170 to 9305 matches the Rfam family "MIR1120/MIR1122 microRNA precursor family". Lineage: Eukaryota; Viridiplantae; Streptophyta; Magnoliopsida; Poales; Poaceae. The record is from RNAcentral.